RNAcentral lists this long non-coding RNA (58853 nucleotides) under Triticum aestivum (bread wheat). RNAcentral's name for it is "long non-coding RNA (TAES_LNC020090)". Lineage: Eukaryota; Viridiplantae; Streptophyta; Magnoliopsida; Poales; Poaceae. The record is from RNAcentral.
UGUGCAUAUCUGACGGAGAGCUUACCAGGAGCAGGAGGCCUAUCAUUUGGUGUAGUUUAUGUCUUUUUUAUUUUUUAGUGAGACCAUAUGGAAUGUGGCAAAGUAUCUUAGUGUGGGAUUAUUCGAACCUGUUUAUGACGCGUCCUUUGUUUUGUGCAUUUGUCGUUUGUGUCUUCUUUUUAGCGAGAACCAUACUGAUAUGACAAAAGUUGUGUGUUAACACAUGCAAGUUAAUACUUUCUACCUCUGUUUUAUAACUUGAGUUUUUAUGUUUCUUGAUAGUUCAUGCUUUAAUGCACAGGGAAGUUGCAUGUGUUUUAGUACUAGAGUUGGCAUGUUCUCACAUCUGGUAGAGGCAACUCUAGAUUUUAUGAACAGAUACGGUUGCACAGCUCUUUUUUCCCCAGAGUUGCUUCAAAAAUGAACAUAGUUGCUUCAGUUAACUGUUUGAGUUGUCAGGUUACUUUCCUGGUCAGGGUUGCUCAUGAACCCCAAGCACCUUAUACUAGGAUAGGAAAGAAAGCCAAGCAGGUUUCAAUGCAUACAAUAUAGAGAAAUUAUGUUUUGCUGUUGCAAUGCACCUGCAAAAAUGCGCAAUGGUCCUGCAUUUUCUUUCCCACUAGAGUUGCCCUAUUUUUGUACUGGUGUUGCUUUUUUGUAUCACAAUAGUUGCUCAAGAUGCAUGCCAUACAUAGAGUUGGCUCAAAGCAGUCUACAAGUUGCUUUUUCACCAGAUCAAAAGAACAAACUAAAAACUAGACUAGUUGAUGUUCAAGCAGGGAAUAGCAGGGGUGGUUGAGUAGGGAAGAGAGCGGAGUUGGGUGGAGGUGGUGCUUACCUUUUGGGGGGGGAGGUAGGUCUGAUUUUUCUCUCUACAGAUCUGAUUUUUGGAGCAAGGAGGAGGAAGGAGGUGUUCUUGCGUCAGUUUUGUUCUUCAAGACGCCAUAGAUGGGGCAGAUCUUGUUUAGAGGAGGAAAGGCAGGAGCAAGGAGGAAGAAGGAGACCCAUGCGUGGGCGUGUACUUCAAGGAAAAUGGAGGAGGGGGUCGCGUGAGGCGUCCGCAAGGGGAGCGUGGGCGGGGGUGCAUGGAGGGGGUGGGGACCGAAGCCUGGGGACGACAGGUGCGGGGAAGCGGGGGCCAGGGGGACCAGGUGUGAUCGGGGCACGCGCGCAAUCCACCCAUGAUUUGCGCGGGCUUGGAUUGGUCGGUUUCGCGCGCGGGGAGCUGCUUUCUGUUUUUGGCUGUCUGGUCGCGCGGGCGGCUCCUUCCUUUUCUGGGAGAGCGCUCGGGGCUGCGAUCGGGCCCCCGUGCGCCCGUGAGCCAUGUCCGUUAUUAUCUACUGAAAGACAUGGUAUGUGCAACAAAGGACCGGUCCAGUAACCAUAAGCAAUUCUGUCCUGAUGAUAUGCAGAAACAUCAAACUGACAACAAAGAAUGGAAACAAUGGCAAGGAACUCAAGUCAUCCUCAUAUAAGCUAUCAUCCAACAAGGGCAAUUCAGACAUCCAGCUCAGGUUAAGGAUCUUUGGUUUCUAAGCCAAAAAUCUUGAAAUGCUAACUUAUUUAUACGCUAUUUGCAAGACUUGCAAAAUAAAGGACACUCUUGCAAGAUUUGCAGGUACAAGGACACAAAUUUUAAAACAGUUCAUGAGUAACAAACAGGUUUGCACCUCGAGUACAAACGUAUGCAUGUAGACUUCUUAGAAGUGCAUGUAAGUUCUUUGAAAGGCAAUGCCAACGGGUAUGUGCGCACGCAGAUUAUCUUCUUCUCACAUAAAGACAUACCGGUAUGCAUCUAUUUUUCCUGCACCCUUUUGCCAAAGUGGCCUGGUUCUCUGAAGUCUGAACCAUGGUGCACUAGAUCUGAAUAUAUUGUUCCGAACAUUGGCAACAUUAAUUCCUGCAACUGUGAAAGCUACACUGGAUUCCAAUCCAAUCACUUAUGGUGUAUAUGGAAGUCCAGGAAUGACAACCUUUUUCGGAAGAAAGGAUAGUGCACCUAUGUAGCUACUUCUGCAGAUCAUGAAAACUCAUCCUUAGAGCCAACUUCGAUGCAGAAUGAAACAACUAACAAUAUUCCUAAGCAGGGCACUUCAAUGACACCAGAUUCAAUAAUAAUCACAGGUUGUAAGGUCUACUCUGAUCGAUGCUACAUGGACAAAGAGUACAUGCAAUUAUCAUCCAGGAGAUAACAGGACUAGCAUUGGAAGGAUGCAUGUGCAAUUCGAUGAAGCAGGGCAUAGUACUGACUGUUAUCCUCAUUUCUUCAGCUGGCAGAGCAACAUUUUGCAGAAGUUGGUGAGGGCACUUCACAGCAGAACAAUCACCCUGGAAAUAGCGAUAGCAGCGAACCGCUAGGAGGAGCACAACAGCAAAAGACCAACUAGACGCAAAGUUCACACAGAAGACAGUCGACAGCAAACUGAGAUAAAACACCUGCCCAAUAACGAAGAAAAACACAAAAGUAGCAGAUCAGCUCUAAAGGAGCCGAAGGUAACUUCUUGUCAAAACAAGCUUUGUUGCAAGUUUUGCAGAGAGACCAGAGACCAGCAGAAUGCCGCAAUCCAAACAACAUGCCCACUCAAGUAGAAUAUUGAGUGAAGCAGAUGGGUCUAUCAUGAAUCCCAAGAGUAUUACAUAUAGUGCUCCACAUGUAAGCAGCAACUGAGCAAGAGAAAAAAAACAUGAUUUACAGUUUCGUAGGUCACUGGUUCAAGUCCUGGAAACAACCUCUUGCAGGAAUGUAGGGAAAUGCUGCAUCCUAAAGACCUAAAAUGGUUGGACCCUUCCCCGAACCUUGUGCAAGCGGGAGCUACAUGCACCGGGCUGCCCUUUACAGUUUCAUAUUCCUCACAGAAAUUGCAUGUGAAUCACCCACCCACUUCCUUUUCUUCAUAUUGUCUUUAGUGGCUAUGGCAUUGUGCUAGAUCAUCCAUAGCCAGAUUUUAAUUUGAAGAGGGGUUCUAGCUUUCCACAUCGGUUGAAAGUCUACUCGGGAUCGAUCGGAACAAGUGAUUAUACAUCAAUUUCACAGGUUUCUUUGCUACAACAGAUGCUCUGCAAACCCAAGCAAUUCAUAUAUUUAGAGAACUCAAUAGGGAAGCUCACAAUUGUGCGUCAAUUUCUUCUAGAAUAUAUCAGGAGUGAGGAGUAUAAUAUUGAAAUGUUGUAGCUCGGUACACAGUGGGGUUUAAUGCCCCUAUGCUUUCAAAGCUAGGCAAUCUCAAUGCACAUGAUUUUUGAAUCCUGAUUGUAAACUGUGUCUGCUACUCCUGCGAGUAAGGGUAUGUCCCACUUCCUCGCCACAUGAUCUCUCUGUUUGUGGGGGGGGUACCUAGGCAAGCAAGAGCUUCAAAAUUGGGACGGUGGCGGCGGGGUGAUUGUGUGAGCUAGGGGUUUUUGCGGUUCUGAGUGCAUGCGCAAGGAGGUUUUAUACCACGACCACAGAAUGGCAAAGCAAAUUUCUAGGCUUAUACAUAACUUUGUCAAGCUCACAACCGCAAAUUAUGACAAAUUUUACUUUGCCGAGGACAUGGGGAAGGUUUAUAAAGAAAGUAAAAAUUAGAAAGUUUGACUUUAAAAAAAUGUUAUAUGCACAGUUAUUUGGCAAGGAGGGAGUAUAAUUGCUAGAGCAUUAGUAUUAAAUAUAAAGUGCAAUUCAUUUUGGAAUUUUAGAAAGACCCCCUCCCCUAGAUGGCUAUUUCCUACUUUGAACUAUAUGAUGGUCGUCUGCCUAAAGCAUAAAAUUCAAUAGGCACCAUUGCAGCGCCCUGCCCGAGACUGGCCUUAAUUUAACCUCUCAUUGCACAUGUGUCAUUAGUGUGCGGACCAGAGUUGAGACAACUCUAUUUAUAGGGAUUAUACAUGGUGGAUCUCGAGAAAGGUGACGAGCUAAUAACCGUGGACACGCUAAGAUACUCCCAAUACAUGAUUAAGUUUUUCUCAUUCCCCGAAUUACCUUUUGUCUUGCAAAUGCUAAAUAUAUCAAUAUAUCCUCAUUGGUGCAGAGUGUAUAGAAAGGAAGUUGCAGAACUGCCGCUUGUCGGGACUCAGUUCACACAUUGUCGGCAACGAAUAAUGUGCCACAUCCUAAUGAACCAAAUGGAAAAGCUAUGUCUAAUGCUUAGGUUGUUCAGAGCAUAUUUCUUGGCUUCUACAAAAUGUUUUCAAGUUCACAAUCGCAAGUUAUGACAAACAUUUACUUAAUUACUUUGCCAAGGACAUGGAGAGGGUUUAUACACUUGUUCAUAGUUUACAAAGUUUGACUUCUAAAAAUUAUUAUAUGUAUAGUAAUUUGUCAAGGAGGGAGUAUAAUUUAGUAUAAACAUCAUCAUAAUUCCAACAAAUAGUCUCAAAUUAGCAUUAUCAUUUUGGAAUUUUAGAAAGGGGGGCCAUGCCCCCCCCUCCGGUUCGCUCGUGUGACAUAUCGGCUCGUAACCGAUGCGAACACCCGCGAUCCGCCGGAAAAACUCAAUUUUGGUAUUCAUCUUCGCAUCACGUCCGCCGGCCGGAAGCAUCCUAGCUGUGUCUCGCGUUAGCGUCGGACGAUCAUGGACAUCGUGAAGUAUGUCGAGUUCAUGGUUGACGGCGGCCGGGGCAACAUUUAGAUAUAGCUAGCACGGUAAAUAUAGGAAAGUACUAGCAUACUGCUUCUCAUAGAUAAUGCAUUUUUUGGUAAGGAGGGAGUAUAAUUUAGUCUAAACAUCAUCAAAAUAGUGCUAAAAUUAAAUAUGUGGUACAAUUUUUUUGGAAUUUUAGAAAGAGGCCAUGGCGAGCGCGUCGGAGUGGAGGUCCGAGAGGGAGAGGCCACAACGAAUCUACCAACAGAUGAAGAGCAGCAUAUCCGCUACUCCUGUGAGUAUGACGGGUAUGUCCCACUUUGCCACCACAUGACGUGUGUGUAGGGGGGUGCUAAGGCAAGGAAGAUCUUCAAAAUUGGGAGGGUGGCGGUGGGGUGGCUUUUUGAGCUAGGGGGUUCUGCGGUACAAGUGGCACACAACAACGAGGAGGGUUUAUACCACGCUAUACCUGGCCAAACCACGGGCCGGGCCUAGCCAAGCCCGAGCCAAAAACCUGGGCCCGAGCCCGGCCCGGCCAUCGGGCCUAGUUUUUGGGCCCAAGCCCGGCCCGAACAUGCAAAAGCCCGCCAAGCCUCGGGCCUUGGGUCGGGCCCCUUUAGAAAACUGCAAAAAUGCCGGGCCCGGGCCCGGCCCGGCCAGGCCACCGGGCUCAAAAUCUAGGCCCGAGCCCGGCCCGGGAGCAGCGUCGGGCCGGGCCGGGUCGGGCUUUUUCGGGCCGGGUCGAGCCAGGCCGGCCGGGCCGGGCUGCCCAUGGCCAGGUCUAUACCACGCCCACAGAAUGACAAAGCAAGUUUCUAGGCUUCUACAAAAUGUUUUCAAGUUCAUGACCGCAAAUUAUGACAAAAUUUACUUUGUUGGGCACAUGUCAAGGAUUUAGAAACUUGAUGAAAAAUUAUAAAGUUUAACUUUAAAAAAUAUAUUAUAUGUAAAGUAAUCUGGCAAGGAGGGAGAUAAUUUAGUUUAAACAUCAUCAUAAUUCUAAGAAAAUAGUCUGGAAAUAGCAUUGAAGUGCUAGAGCAUUAGUAUUCAAUACAAACUGAAAAUCAUUUUGGAAUUUUAGGAAGGGGGCAUGCCCCCCUCCCCUACCAAGAAUUUUGGAAGAAUUGGAUGAAGCAUGAACUUAAUAUGCACCGCCGCGCAGUGCCCUAGCCGAGACGACCAUAAGUUAACCUCUUGUUUCCGCUUUGUUUUGGAUCGCAACUAACUUGGAGACGCGAUAUUACAAGUCACUACGAGAGACAAAGUUCAAUUCAUGUGCUCCCUAUGAGAUCGUUGCUCUUAUUUCGAAAAGUCUAUAACUAAAUCAUGUGCGCUUGCAAGACAUCAACCUUCAAACCUUCACAAACUUUUCGGGUGUAAAUCACAAGUUGAUUCCUCGCUGGAGUAAUCCUAUCACCUUGGAGUUUCCAACCUCCAAGAGCAACAAAAACAAAAGGGAAAUGCUAAAGACUGGCUCAAAUCAUGAAUCACUUUGGUCAAAAGAGAGAGCAGGAUUUGAUAUGCUUGGGUGAAAUCUCUCUCAAUUUUCUCAAGAAUUCCCCAAUAAAUCUUUGAUCCGAUGGUAGGGAAGUGAGAGGGAGCCUCUUCUUAGAUUUGGUCAAGUGUAUAUGGACUGGUCAACCCCUCCGCUGAGUGGUUGUCGGUGUCAAAACCGGCGGAUCUUGGGUAGGGGGUCCCGAACUAUGCGUCUAGGCCGGAUGGUAACAGGAGGCAAGGGACACGAAGUUUUACCCAGGUUCGGGCCCUCUCGAUGGAGGUAAAACCCUACGUCCUGCUUGAUUAAUAUUGAUGAUAUGGGUAGUACAAGAGUAGAUCUACCACGAGAUCAGAGAGGCUAAACCCUAGAAGCUAGCCUAUGGUAUGAUUGUUGAUGUGUAUGUUGUCCUACGGACUAAAACCCUCCGGUUUAUAUAGACACCAGAGAGGGUUAGGGUUACAUAGAGUCGGUUACAAUGGUAGGAGAUCUGAAUAUCCGUAUCGCCAAGCUUGCCUUCCACGCUAAGGAAAGUCCCUUCCGGACACGGGACGAAGUCUUCAAUCUUGUAUCUUCAUAGUCCAGGAAUCCGGCUAAAGGUAUAGUCCGGCCAUCCGGACACCCCCUAAUCCAGGACUCCCUCAGUAGCCCCUGAACCAGGCUUCAAUGACGACGAGUCCAGCGCGCAAAUUGUCUUCGGCAUUGCAAGGCGGGUUCCUCCUUCAAGUACUUCAUAGAAGAUUUUAAACACAAAGAUAGUGUCCGGCUCUGCAAAAUAAGUUUUCCACAUGUUGCCACAGAGAGAAUAAUAUUUACACAAAUCUAAUCUGUUGACGUGUUCCGUAGUGUGACACACCACGGCCAAGCCUUUAUCCGAGUCGUUUCAUUAUCCCACCUCAGCGCGUCAUGCGAGGCAGCUUCCUUGGCACGUCUUGUCAAAGCAGAGAUCGUGUCCCCUUAUUCCGGGAUUCUCAUCAAUACGGGCGUGGGUAACCCAACCACUUCUAGGACUCCUAGAUUAUAGGCAAGUCCAAACGGACACGGAGACGACGCUCGAUAUUCACCCUCUUUAUAAAGGGACGAGGCUUUUUAUUUUUCCCUCCCGUGCUCAAUCGAAUCCUUCCCCUACCUCAAGCUCUAACACCCAAAGUACGGGUCAGGUGCUCCAAACCUUCAAUCAUGUCCGGAUUUAGCCUUCAAGGCCGAUGGGUGCCUUCUUCCGUCACGGAAGAAGACGUCAAAAAGUUGAGGGAGGCCAGAUAUCUGACUGUCGAGAUUUGGCAUCGGCUUCCUCCCCGGGGGCAGGCCGUCCCCUCCCCCGAACCCAAUGAGAGUGUCGUGUUCGUCUCUCACUUCCUCCGAGGUCUAGGCCUUGCAUUAGAUCCUUUUGUCAGGGGCUUGAUGUUUUACUACGGGCUAGAUUUCCAUGAUCUAGCUCCGGACUCCUUUCUUCAUAUCACGACAUUUAUUGUUGUGUGCGAGGCCUUCCUCCGGGUUACCCCUCACUUUGGCCUAUGGCUCAAGACCUUUGAAGUAAAGCCGAAGAUGAUCGAGGGGCAACAUGCGGCAUGUGGAGGUGCUUCAAUACACAAGAUGACGGGAGCUGCAUGGCCCAAAGGUUCUAUUCCAGAGGUGUCUGAAUUGUGGCAACAGGAGUGGUUCUACAUCACGGCUCCUAGAAGUGCCAAGUGGGCGGCCGCCCCCGUUUUCCGCCCAGGCCCUCCUCCACAACUAAUGUCAUGGAUUAGCAGAGGAUUGAGCUGGGGUCCGGCCAAGGACGUGCUUAUACUGCAAAGCCGCAUUCAAGAUCUCUUUAACGGAGAUUUCAGUUUGGUUGCGGUAACACAAGUUAUGCUGGUUCGUCAAGUCCAGCCUUGCAAACGCCGGCCUCUUCGCUUGUGGGAGUUCAAUCCCGAGGGACUGCGCGCCAUUCGAAAUUUCCUCGGCCUGACGCACGAGGAGAUGUACAAGUUGUGCUUCGGACCUCAAGUGGAGUGUCCGCAAAUUAUCGAGGACAUGGGCCUGAGUAGCAACCGUGCCGCCGAACAGGUAAGGCAUCUUCUGACCGAGCGUACUACCUCUCCUUUGAUGCGAAGUUAUUUCUGGGAGUUCGCUUUUUGACCAGGACUGGCUAACGAAGGCGAAGUUGAUUCAGUGCUCGGCCCCCCUCCCUGAGGGUUUGGAAAAUCCGAUAUUGGAGAAGAUGCUCCAGCCCGCACCUUGCCCGGAGCCCUUGAAGGAAAAUGCGGGCGGUCGCGGGCCCCAAACGCUGGCCGCUCUAGUCGAGGGAGCGAGCAUCUCCAUGAAGGAAGAUGACUAGAAGAGGAAAAGGAUUGUGACUGUGGAUUCGGAAGCCGAAGCUUCCAAACGGGAGAAGAAGUCUCCAACAGAGGGUCCUACCCGGGGGGGUGCGGUUGCCGCACAAAGUCCAUGGCGGGAUCAAUUCUCCCAUGAGUCGUAAGUGACCCAAAAUACCUUAGUAGUACAGAUAUGUCGUCUUUUCUUCUGAGGAGAUAACCACUGCAUAUAUCUUUGAAGUUCGGGCCUUAGCCCCUCUCAAAUGAGCUCGUCUUCGGGGGAUCUUCUUCCAGAGAUGAUGGAGAGUGAAACGCCUCCUCCGGACUCCUCCGCUCCGAAAGCGGGCGACCCUAAAGUGUCGUCGUGGAGGGCCUCUCUGAGUCCGGCAAGGCCAGAAGAUAAUCCCGUCGACCCCCGAAGUUCCCAGCGUCCGGCUCCCGAAGAGAGCAGACAAACGAGUCCGGUGCCGUCUAGUGUGUGGUCGGAUGUUCUAAGGGAGUUGGUGGGGCGAGCGGCCAUCUUAGAUGAACACCGUGUGCUGAUGAAUACGAUGAUGGAGAGAAUCUUGUCUGCCGAAAGCGGAUUGCAUAAAGCUUUUAUGAGUCUACUGACAGGUUUUGAGGUACGUAAAAUAAUGUAUGAUAAUCCUGCACAUGCUAAGUGUGCCCUAUGUAGAUAGUAGCCCCUGAGACUCUGGUUGUCGUUGGGAACGACAACGAUCAGAGGAUCAUAAUCCCAGGUAGUAACCAUACUGCCUCUAUGGGCAGGUGAUGGAAGCUCCGGUGGCUAGCCGGACUAGCAAGUUUGCCCAUUUAAGACGGCAAUUGGAUGCGGCGGACGCCGACAUCGAGCUUGUUAACAAAAGGCUUGACGAGGCCAGGGUAAGUGUUAUUAUCUGUUAAAUGCCGCAUAGUAAGAGCAGCAUGAAGCCAGUAUAUUUAACAUGUUAUGAUUGCAGAUGGAGCUGCCACUGUUGAAGCCUUGCGGGCGGAACUUGCCUGAGCCAAGGAACAAGCGAAAUUGGAUAAUGCGGCUACUUUGAAGGCAGCCGAAGAGUUGCGAGCUGAGAAGGCCGCGCAUGGCGAGAGCCGAGAUAAGAUGGCCAAUAUGGCCAUAGAAUUAAAAGCCGCCGUCGACCGUUGCCGGGUUCUUGAAAAGGAAAACCAGGCGAAGGCAUCGGACCUCGAGAAGGCUGCUGCAACAGGAAAAGACCUCCGCUCUGCUAUGAGGGCAAAGAAGGAGGAGCUACGGGAAGCCGGGGAUAUCGUAGGUGGGAAACCCUUUAUGUUGCAGAGGAAGUUCGGAGAUCCACGGUAUGCCCCUUUGGAUCGGCUGUGGAGUUCGGAGGAUGCGUAUAUGGAUUUGGCGGCGAGCGCUGCCGAUGCGGCCAAGUACUUCAAGGGUCAGACAGACCGUGAAGUGGACCAGCUGUUUUGGACACAAUUCCAUUCUCCCGAGCGUCCACUUUUGUUGUCUGACCAACUAGCGGAAUGGGCCGAACUGAAUAGGUUGUCCGGACUCGCCAUGAGGUCUGUUGUGGAUCAGCUAUGGCCGGAAAGGAUAAAACCGAAUAGCUAUUUUAGCUUGGUGCAGCAGUUCCUUGAUGUGGUGCCGCACAUUAAUGCGAUGAAGAGGUUGGCGUGCAUAGAAGGCGCACGAAUGGCCUUUGCCCGUGCUAAAGCAUACUGGGCAGAGAUGGAUGCUACCACUGUUGCAGCGCAGGAUUCGGCCGUAGGUCGAAGGGCUGCUGAGCACUACUUUGAGGAAGUUCUUGAGGGUGCUCGUUUGAUAGAGACUCAGUGCUCAAAAAAUAUUAUGUUUGAGUGAUAUGUAAUCGCAUUGUAAGCGAAAUAUUUUUAUAAAUUUUCAUAAGGCUACUUUUAUACUUUUGCCUAAAAGUAAUGUGAUGCCUCCUGGGCAGCCGUUUAUGUAUACAUGUGUAUAACCUGAAAGAUUACAGUUGUCGGCUUCAACCCCCACGCAUAUAAUGCAGAGGUGUUCGCAGAAACACGCGUUCACACUUAACCCAACGUCUUGGUCCUAUUAAGGAGGUGAUAGCGGAGCGAGCGAGGCAACCAGACUAUAAUGCUUUAACACUUUCACUUAGCCAUAGGAGUUUGAUAGUGGGGCUACUAGAUAGCCCCUGGUGGCUCCGUACUCUCCCGAUCUUGGGGUGCGUACAUGCCUGGCCGAAAAACGGCCCUUUGUUAAGGCGGAGGAAUUCUAUCAUUCCCAUGGGUCAUCGAGUGGUUGACCAGUCUCACGCUAGAUCAUGACAGUCAGUUUUCGGCUUUCUCUACUAAGGUGCUCGUCCGGAUGAACCGGGGCACAAUCGCAGUAGUUCUCCUGGUGCUACCUUAGCCGGUAAAGCGGAACGUAAGGCACCAAAACACAGGAGCCGGGCAAACCCAACAUUUGACCAAAGACAAUGAUUCAGAGCUAAUGCAUAUAGGGCCAAACUCGCAACGCCGAACACUCCCUAAGGUAUUCGGUCUUUGUAGUAUAAACCAGGCCUAAGUAAUGGCCUUCGUAAGAAGCCCCUUAUGUCCAGGUACGUGCAUUGGUCUGGCGUGGCCACAUGCCAAGACGUCAGCAUCCUUCUCAACGGUGGAUAUGUAUCAACAAGAGACAGUAAAAAAGGUUUACGCAGGGUCUUAAUCUAAAAAAAAUCCUUGGGGCGGGUCCCUGCUGCACGUCUGCGCCUGUGUCUCCAUUGUGCCGUAUCCUGGACGGGUGUAGCACGAUGAUCGUCUGUAAAAGAGAGGAAGUUAGGUGAAAAAAGUUGUUGUGCAAAAAGUAUAGUUUGUUAAAGAAACUAUGCAUAAUUCAAGAUGAGGAGAGAUGGUCGUGUGUCUGCGCGCGUUGAGCCCCUUGUAUCGAAUAGGGGUGUGACCAUUUGGUCAGUAUAAGUAGCGGCGCCGGAUUUGAUUAGUUGUGUCUGAGGUCUUGACGACCUAUGGGACGCUUUGGCUAGUCCGGGCGCCUUUAGUGUGCGGCUGCCAAGGCAGCCUCACUCUCUUCGGCGCGCAGAGAUCGCUUGAUAUUUCCGUGCACUGAAAUGAUGCCGUGUGGACCGGGCAUCUUGAGUGUGAGGGAGGCGUAGUGUGGUAUUGCAUUAAAGCGAGCGAAAGCUUCGCGCCCGAGCAGUGCUUGAUAGCCACUUUGAAACGGAGUGAUGUGGAAGGUUAAAUGCUCGCUACGGAAGUUAUCGGGGGAGCCAAAUAUAACUUGUAGUAGGAGGGAGCCCGUACAAUGAGCCCCUGGGCCUGGCGUUACUCCUUUGAAGGUAGUAUUGCUAUGGCGAAUUUGUGUUGGGUCUAACCCCAUCCUGCGGAUUGUAUCCUGAUAUAUUAGAUUUAGGCUGCUGCCGCCGUCCAUCAAGACUCGUGUGAAGUGGUAUCCGCCAAUUACUGGGUCUAAUACCAUGGCAUCCCAUCCUGCGUGUCGGAUACUUGCUAAGUAGUCGUGAUGAUCGAAAGUGAUUGGUUGAGACGACCAUUGGCAGGACUUCGCGGUGACAUGCACUUGGGUAUAUUUUCCUGGGGGUGCCGCAUUGUUUUUUCCCUUGAUCAUAUGUAGCAUGUUUACUGUUUUGACUUCUGGUGGGAAUUUCUUUUAUUCCCCCGUGUCAUGCUUGGGAGGCUCGUCCCCGUCUUCACUUGGUGUAUCCUCCCCCUUGUGUACGGCAUUGAGUUUGCCGGACUGCUUGAAGACCCAACAUUCUCUGUGGGUAUGAUUAGCAGGUUUGCUAGGGGUACUGUGGAUCUGACAUACUUGGUCCAGAUUUUUGUUGAGGCUGGACAGUUCAUCCCUGGUGCCUUUAGUGGGCGGCUUUUGACCUGGUCGGGAGCUUUUGAAUCCGGCAUUUACUGUCGUGCCCUUCGUGUUGUCUUCUUUAUUCCGGCGUUUGUUGUUGCUAUUGCGCCGUGAUUUCCCGUUUCCAUCUCUAACUUCAGAUGUACUGGGGUCGCUGGUGCUGCAUCUGGCUAGCCAGCUGUCCUCACCCGCGCAAAAGCGGGUCAUGAGGUUUGUUAAUGCGGCCAUCGUUCUCGGCUUAUUUUGGCCGAGGUGUCUGGCGAGCCAUUCGUCACGGACGCUAUGCUUGAAAGCUGCCAAGGCUUCGGCGUCUGGACAGUCGACAAUAUGGUUCUUUUUAGUAAGAAACCUGUUCCAAAGCUUUCGGACUGACUCUCCGGGCUGUUGAGUUAUGUGACUCAAAUCGUCCGCAUCCGGAGGUCGGACAUAAGUUCCUUGAAAAUUUGCUCGAAAGACGUCUUCGAGCUCUUCCCAACUUCCAAUGGAGCUUUCGGGGAGGCCUUUGAGCCAGUGACGAGCUGACCCUUUGAGCUUGAGGGGUAAGUACUUGAUGGCGUGGAGAUCAUCUCCUCGAGCCAUAUGAAUAUGAAGGAUAUAGUCCUCAAUCCAAACCCCAGGGUCUGUUGUUCCAUCGUAUGCCUCUAUGUUUACGGGCUUGAAUCCCUCUAGAAAUGCAUGGUCCAGCACCUCAUUAGUGAAACAUAGGGGGUGUGCGGCACCCCUGUAGCUGGGUGUACCGCAUUGUUCGGAUGUUUGUUGUGUUGCGUUGUAUGCUGGGGCGCGCUUGCGUGGUCCAUAGAUGGAUCUUGUUGCACCGUCCUUUGGGUGCAAACCCUCGCAUGGGUCGCGUGUUGUAUUGUGGGUGGCGUUGUAUGCCGCUCUGUGUUGAUAGAGGGGUCGUCUAUCCGACCAGGUGGCUGCUUUGGUAUUUGGUUGUGGGGGGUCUGAGGCCUCCUCAUCGAAUUCAGGUAGCAGCUUCCGCUUUGGGUAGCUCUUGGAGGGGCGAUUGUCGCCAUACAUCGCUGAUGUGCUGAGUAUUUUACUCCAUCUGAUUUGGAAUGUGUCUUGCGCAGCCUUGAGCCUUUGCUUCUGUUUUUUCAGGCUCCUUGCGGUAGUAACAAGCCUUUUAUGGGCAUUCUGCUGCUCCGAGUGCCUGUCCGGCGUUAUGUCGUCCGGACCAUUAUCCUUGAUGGAAUUUGUUUGUCCGGUUUGAUUAUCCAGAUUGUCAUUGUCCGGUAGCGGUUCGUCCUGCUCCAGCGCUGGGUCUGUGGGACCGCUAUUUCUGUCGGGGCGGGAUUUGGGGCGGCGCUUGCGUCGCCGUUUUGACUGCUUUUCGAGGGAACAAGCCUUCGGUGCGUCCUUCCGCUCCUCGUCAUCAUCUUUUGGUGCGUCCACCAUGUAUACGUCAUAUAACGGGGUGGCGUUCCAGGGCCCAGUAGGCGCUGGUUCUUCAUCGUCUCCUUCAUCGCCGUCCAUACCGUCGAUAUCUUCGGAGUCGAGGUCGAGCCUGUCGGUUAAGUCGUCGACAGUGGCUACCAAAUGGGUGGUGGGUGGGAAUUGAAUUUCUUCAUCGUCCGUGCCCUAACCUUGCUGACCGCAGUUCGGCCUGGGCUCUCCUGAUAAAGAGAGAGACUUCAGUGUUUUCAGGAUAUCGCCGAAAGGCGAGUGCUGAAAGGUGUCUGCGGCCGUGAACUCCAUAAUCGGCGCCCAAUCGGAUUCGAUUGGAAGGGGCGCGGGGGGUUCAGAGUCCGGAGAAGAAUCCGGCUCCAUGGAGUCACGAGUCUUGCAGAGUACGGGGCUGGUGUUCGGCUCAACCACCGUUGGGAUCACAGCCCCCGAGGUGGCGUCCAACCGCCCAUCCUCGAUCGGCGCAGUUGGCUCCGAACUAAGGGUCGGAGCCGGCGCGGGUGCGGCCUCCAGGGCACUGUUCGGCAGCAGAGUUAGAUCAUGCUCGUCGUGACAGUGCGGCGCGCUCGGCAGUGGCUCGAAUCCGUCGAAGAUCGAGUCCCCGCGGAUGUCAGCCGUGUAGUUUAAACUUCCAAAUCUGACCUGACGUCCAGGGGCGUAGCUUUCGAUCUGCUCCAGAUGGCCAAGUGAAUUGGCCCGCAGCGCGAAGCCGCUGAAGACGAAGAUCUGUCCGGGGAGGAAGGUCUCACCCUGGACUGCAUCACUAUUGAUGAUCGUAGAAGCCAUCGGGCUUGAUGGCGACGACACAUAGGAACUCUCAAUGAAAGCACCAAUGUCGGUGUCAAAACCGGCGGAUCUCGGGUAGGGGGUCCCGAACUGUGCGUCUAGGCCGGAUGGUAAUAGGAGGCAAGGGACACGAAGUUUUACCCAGGUUCGGGCCCUCUCGAUGGAGGUAAAACCCUACGUCCUGCUUGAUUAAUAUUGAUGAUAUGGGUAGUACAAAAGUAGAUCUACCACAAGAUCAGAGAGGCUAAACCCUAGAAGCUAGCCUAUGGUAUGAUUCUUGAUGUGUAUGUUGUCCUACGGACUAAAACCCUCCGGUUUAUAUAGACACCGGAGAGGGUUAGGGUUACAUAGAGUCGGUUACAAUGGUAGGAGAUCUGAAUAUCCGUAUCGCCAAGCUUGCCUUCCACGUCAAGGAAAGUCCCUUCCGGACACGGGACGAAGUCUUCAAUCUUGUAUCUUCAUAGUCCAGGAAUCCGGCUGAAGGUAUAGUCCGGCCAUCCGGACACCCCCUAAUCCAGGACUCCCUCAGUGGUGAAGGGGUAUAUAGGUUUGGGGAAGAAGUGAAAAACAUGCAUUAGCGGAUAGUCCGCUAGAUCUAGACCGGAUAGUCCUAUAGUGUAAAUCAGAUUAGGGUUUGGCCAACAAUGUUUGUACAAAAAUGUACAACUUCUGUUCGCUUAAUUUUUUCAAAAUGUUUGUACAAAAAAUGUUCGUGCAAUUUAAAAAAUGUUUCACGCAUUUCAAACAAAUGUCCAUGUUAUUUGAAGAAAUGUACUUACCAUGCAUUUUUUUUCAUAAUUAAAACACAAUGAUUCCUACCUUUUAGAAAAUGUCGAUGGCAACAAAAAACAACAACAAAGCCUUUGGUCCAAAAUAAAUUGGGGUAGGCUAGAGUUAAAACUCAUAAGAUACCGAAAAUCUGAAAACAAGUCAUGGUUCUAGGGGAGAAUAUCUAGUACUCCCACCCCUAGGGUGCUCCCGGUGCUCCAAACUCAGCAGCAUAUUUUUAAAUGGUCGAAAAAAUCUGAAAAAAAUCUAGCACAUUGAUACAAUGUCAAUGUAUGUUGUCAAAAAAAUUCAAAUCAAAAUUCAAAACAUUGCUUGAGAUACAAAAAUGAAUAAAUCGACAUCAAUAUGAUAAUGGGCCAAAUAUAAAGCCCAACUUAUGUUGUGUAUUAUUUACUGUCGAAUUUGUCAUUUAUGUUUCUCAAGCUGUGUUUUGAAUUUUGAUUUCAAAUUUUGUUACAACAUACAUUGGUGUCGUGUCUAUGUGCUGUUUUUUCCAGAAUUUUUCGAACAUUUAAAAAUGUGCUACCGAGUUUGGAGCACUGGGAGCACCCUACGGGUGGGAGUACUAGAUAUUCUCCCAAGGUUCUAACACCUGGAUAGCCUACUUAAUUCCACACACCCAUGUCCAUGGUUAAAUCUUUGGUGAUAUUUCAGUCCAUCAGAUCUCUUUUUACGGACUCAUCAUAUGUCAAAUUUGGCCUACCCCAACUCCGCUAUGCACUGGCGCUGCAGGCUUGCCUAUUUUAAAAAAUGUUGAUGACAUUUAAAAAAAUAUUCACACAUUUAAAAAAUAUGUUUGUGAAAUUUAAAAUAAACAAUUUAUACAAUGUAAAAAAAAUGUUUGUGUAGUUUAAAAAAAUGUUCCCUACCAUUCAAAGAAAAUUCUCAACAUGUUUUUGAAGAAUGUUUUACAUGUAGUCAAAAAAGUGCAUUUAAAAAAAUUUCAAUAUAUAUUUUAAAAAUUUUAACAUUUGCAAAAAUACAUCACACGUUUGUAUGAAAAAUGUAGAACGAGCACUGAAAAAUAGUCAUGAAUUAAAAAUAAAGCAAAAAAACAAAGUAAACCAACAAAGGAACAGUAAAAACAGAAGAAAAAUAAGUUGAAGUACCGCUCCUAACCGCCACCCUACUACCACGAGUUUACUGGGAUUCUCAUGCUAAAUGGAAGUACCGCUCCUCGGCGUGUUAGUACCGCUGGCUUCUGCCACAUGGAGUACCGCUUGUUUGUUGCCUUCUGGACUGGUCUGUCCCGCGGGUGGAAGUAGAGCGGUAGUACCGCCCUACCUCCCUCUACUACCACAGAUUCCAACUGCUGCUCAACACCAAGCGAAAGUAUCGCUCCCUGACUUGCUCAUUUGUAUGCAACAGCUAUAACUUCCGUGCCAGCGGAAGUACCGCUCACCUGAGAGGUACUCCAGCUUGUGCACGGGCUGUGGGUGCAUAACUGUAACGCCCCGAGACCGACGCUCCAGAAGACUUUCCAGCUAUUCCGAGUUUCGUCGUGUGAUUUGUUUUAUUUGUUGCAUUCAUCCUUGCAUCAUGUGCAUUGCAUCAUGUCAUCAUGCCAUCAUAUCAUUAAUUUUUAAAACCUCAACUAAAUAAAUUGUAUGGAUUUUUCGAUCCAUUUAAAUCGAGGGACUCACAUGGUGACUUCUCUUUAUAACAUAUCCUCCAAUAUUAGGGAGCUAUAUUAAAUAUUCCACUAUUUUGGAAUCACCAAAACACACUUACAAAAUAAUUUCGUUCCUUUUCUGCUUCAAGUUUGGUCUCCAACCUUGCCAAUAUUUAUUUCAUCAUUUUCCGGAGCUCCGCCAAAAAUCACAACAUUUUUGGACCUUCCUUUUACCUAGUCCUAGUUCAAACCUAUUGAAUUAAAUUCAAAUGAUUUUGAAUUUAAUCUUGCAAUCUUGCUCACUUCUAUUUUCUUGGGACUAGCGCAUUUUUGUGAGUCCAAGAAUAUUAUUUGCAUGUGCUAAUUCUUUGCCUAUCCUUCUCUUUCUUUUCUUUCUCUUUUUCUGUUUUGUUUUAAAUGGGAAAAUGAGAGAGAGAAGAGAGAGUGCAGCCUGUAGCCCAGCCGGCCUCUAAGCCCAAGGCCCAGCUGCUGCGCCUCUAACCCUAGCCCGACCCCCUCGCUCGAUCCAUCUCUCCCUCGGUCGAUCCCCUCCUUCCUUGUUGCGCCGUCGCAGAGAGAGAGAGAGAGGAGCCCCGCUCCACCUCGCCCUUCUCCUCGCCGCAUCGCCCGAUCUCCUCGCCUCCGCCCCUUCCUCCCCUGCUCUUUUCCCUUCCUUCUUUCUCUCUCUCUUAUGUGCAGCUCUCCCCUUGUUCUCUUCUUCUUCACAGGGAACCGAGCUGCCAUGGCCGCCGUUCGUCCUCAUCGCCACCCUUCGGAUCCGCGCAGGAACAGCCUCCUCGGCGACCCCCUUUCUCGCCGGAGCACCGAAUCAGGAGCAGCCGUGGACGCCGUGUCGCAAGCAGCAGCAGCAGUCGAGCGCCUCGUUCCCUCUUCUGCACAUGGAUCCGCAUCACGCCGGCUGCUCCACCUCGGGUCCCCGCCGUCCUGCUUCUUCCCGACGAGGGCCACACCUCUGCCUCGUUCGGUUCGAGCGAACGAACAAGCAGGAUGCCGUUCCGCCCUCUGCUUCACCUGGCAUCGAACGAGGAGACGAGGGCCUCGCCGUACCCGUUGACCGCUCGACCUCCUCUGCUUCGGCAUCGAUCCAGAGACGAACGCCGACCGCGCCCAGGCCCAGCUCGCGCGCGCCUCCGCGUCCAGCCCAGCUCCCUCCGUUGACCACGCCCGCGUGGGCCGGCCCAAUCGUUCUCCCCGCGGUCCAGCCUCGCUCGGCCUCCUCCCCAGCUUCCUUAGCCAGAUCCGCCGGCCUCUCUCUGCAGAUGGGCCAAGGCCCAGGGUGAGCCGACCCCCAGCGCCCCUCCUCUAUUUUUUUCUCUGUUGGGCGUGCCCAGUUUCAGCCCGAUCAUGUUUUUUUCUCGUCCUGCGAUUUUGUCUAAUAUUCCAGAGAUUGCAGUUUUGCAGAAUAACCCCCUAGCUUCAUGCAUUUAAUAACUAAUCAACGGUGCAUCCUUUGUAAAAACUUUGUAUAUGAAACUUGCUCAGAAUUUUGUGUAGAUUAAUAAUAUCCAACUUUCAUCUAUGUUUGAAAUGUUAAAAAUGUUGUUUGCAUUAAUUUACUCCUAUGCCAUGCUAAAAUGCUUUAUUUCAUAACUAAAUAACCGUAGCUCCGAAUUAAAUAAACUUUAUAUGUAAAUGGGGUAGAAAAAUGUCUAGUUUAACAUGGUGCACUCAUCUUGCAUGUUAAACAACUCUAAAAUUGUGUUUAGGGCAGAACAGUACCAAAUCUAAAAUAUGCUUUGGGGAUUUUCCAGAAUUGUUGUUCGUUACUUCCGGCCUCAUUUAAACUUGCCUAGAUAGGUAGUUUCGUUGUGCUUCACCCUCUUGCCAUGUUAACCAACAUUUAAUAUUGUUGAGUACAUAAACGAGAUCAAACUAAAUAACGUGUCGUGGUGUUUCAUCAAUAUGCAACUCGUUGCGUAUUGAGCUCCACUUAAUUUGUAGUGUUGUUUGUUGCACUUUGCCAUGCCAUGUUUCAUUAAACCGGACAUGCAUCAUACUCGAUUGUGCAUCAUGCCAUGUUGAUGUGCUGGUUGUUUACUAUGUUGUGUGCUUCUUUUCCGGUGAUUGCUUCUUCGGGUUGGUUCCGAUAACGUCGCGUUUGUGAGGAUCCGUUCAACUACGUCCGUUUGUCUUCUUCAUGGACUCGUUCUUCUUCCUUGCGGGAUUUCAGGCAAGAUGAUCAUACCCUCGAAAUCACUACUAUCUUUGCUAUGCUAGUUUGCUCGCUCUUUUGCCAUGCCAAUGCUACGAUGCCUACCAUUUGCUUGUCAGCCUCCCAAAUUGCCAUGUCAACCUCUAACCCACCAUGUCCUAGCAAACCGUUGAUUGGCUAUGUUACCGCUUUGCUUAGCCCCUCUUAUAGCGUUGUUAGUUGCAGGUGAAGAUUGAAGUUUGUUCCUUGUUGGAACAUGGAGAUGUUGUUCCUUGUUGGAACAUGUUUACUUGUUGGGAUAUCACAAUAUAUCUUACUUAAUUAAUGCAUCUAUAUACUUGGUAAAGGGUGGAAGGCUCGGCCUUAUGCCUGGUGUUUUGUUCCACUCUUGCCGCCCUAGUUUCCGUCAUAUCGGUGUUAUGUUCCCGGAUUUUGCGUCCCUUACGCGGUUGGGCUAUAAUGGGAACCCCUUGACAGUUCGCCUUAAGUAAAGCUCUUCCAGCAAUGCCCAACCUUGGUUUUACCAUUUGCCACCUAGCCUUUUCUUUCCCUUGGGUUCUGCAGACUCAAGGGUCAUCUUAUUUAACCCCCCCGGGCCAGUGCUCCUCUGAGUGUUGGUCCGAACCGGGCAGCCUGCGGGGCCACCUCGGGGAAACUUGAGGGUUGGUUUUACUCGUAGCUUGACCUAUCUGAGUGUGCCCUGAGAAAGAGAUAUGUGCAGCUCCUAUCGGGAUUUGUCGGCACAUUCGGGCGGUGUUGCUGGUUUAGUUUUACCCUGUCGAAAUGUCUUGUUGUACCGGGAUACCGAGUCUGAUCGGAACGUCUCGGGUGGAGGUCUAUUCCUUCGUUGACCGUGAGAGCUUGUCAUGGGCUAAGUUGGGACACCCCUGCAGGGAUUUGAACUUUCGAAAGCCGUGCCCGCGGUUAUGGGCAGAUGGGAAUUUGUUAGCGUCCGGUUGUAGAAAACCCGAAGUUGACCUUAUUUAAAAUACAUCAACCGUGUGUGUAACCGUGAUGGUCUCUUCUCGGCGGAGUCCGGGAAGUGAACACGGUUGUUGGAGUUAUGCUUGACGUAGGUUGCUAUAGGAUCACUUCUUGAUCAUACUUUUAUCGACCGUGCUUUGCCUUCUCUUCUCGCUCUCAUUUGCGUAUGUUAGCAGCCAUAUAUGCUAGUCGCUUGCUGCAGCUCCACCUCAUUACUCCAUCCUUCCUAUAAGCUUAAAUAGUCUUGAUCUCGCGGGUGCGAGAUUGCUGAGUCUCCGUGGCUCACAGAUACUUCCAAAACCAGUUUGCAGGUGCCUAUGUUACUGAACAGGUGACGCAACCAAGCUCAAGGAGGAGCUCGAUGAAGAUCUUGCCCUUUGUGUUGUUUCGUUCUAGUUGAUCAGUAGUGGAGCCCAGUUAGGGUCGAUCAGGGACCUUUGUCGCAUUUGGGGUUCUUCUUUUAUUUUGGUUCCGUAGUCGGACCUUGAUUGUAUCUGGAUGAUGUAAUGCUUUAUUCAUGUAAUUGUGUGAAGUGGCGAUUGUAAGCCAACUAUGUAUCUCUUUCCCUUAUGUAUUACAUGGGUUGUGUGAAGAUUACCUCACUUGCGACAUUGCUUUCGAUGCGGUUAUGCCUCUAAGUCGUGCUUCGACACGUGGGAGAUAUAGCCGCAUCGAGGGCGUUACAAGUUGGUAAUCAGAGCCUUCCCCGACCUUAGGAGCCCCAUUGCUUGAUCGUUUUUAGCGGCCGAGUUGUGUCUAGAAAAAUGUUUUGAGUCAUUUAGGAAUUAUAUAUCGGAGAGUUUAGGAAUUCUUUUUACUCCUCAGUCCCUUCGUCACUCUUGCGAGGCAUCCUGACGUAGAGUUUUGACUCUUCUCUUCUCGAAUUUCACUAAAUUUUUUUUUAGGAUCACGCGGGUAUCUUGGAAUCGUUCUGAUGGUUUUAUGACGAGAACAUUGUCUUGGUGCCUCCUGUCAGGGGUUUAGUGGAAGUGUCCCGGGGAGUUGAGCUCUGAGGUGUUGUCGUCAUAAUUUUAUCGUUGCAGUUCUGGAAUACCUGAGUUUAGUACGCCGACAUCGAAAAUCUCUUUUAUGCAGUUGUUGGUGAGAUAACCCCGAUAACCCAGUACUGAGGUGAGUACGGGAGUAUCGCCAUAACUUGUAUAACGGAUGCUUUUCGAAGGUUGAGGUAGACGAUUUCCGAAGGUUUCUUGGUUAUGUGUUGAAGGAUGGAUACAGCUGGAUGUAGGAUUUGUUAGUUUUGGGUGAGAUAUUAUGCUUCCCCUGUAUCCCCAACACCUGAUUGCAUAACCUGAAAAUUUCGGGAGUUUCAUAGGUGGGAAUUCAAGUAGCUCUUAGGAUAUCUUUCCGACAGAUGUAUGAUAUGAAAUUGGGGUUCGACGUCUAGUGGUCCGCCUAUUCACGGUUAGUUUUACAGUGGUCUCGUUGUGUCUUAAAGAGUCCUUGGCUAUGCCGACUCGGGGACGCUUCGUAGUCAUGUGCACUGCCUUGUACAUGAUGGUGCUGUAUGAUCGAGCCCGUGUAGGCCCCACCACGAAAACUUCGGACGAAAUCUCUAUCAUAUGUUUGUUCUGGCUUAUUUUGCAAGCCAGUCCUUUGUUUUUGUUUUGAGUUGUGGUAUUCGAGUUGCUUCGAAGUCAAAUGUUGAUUCCAUACCUUUUCCAAAUGGUGUUCUCAUAUUCCUAUGUGAAUACUAAUCCUUCUUGAUCAUCGAGUCUGUCUUGUCAAUCCUUUUUUUUAACUGGUGUGUCUCUCCUCAAGUGGAUCCGUUCACGUCAACAUUUGCAAGAUCAUUUAUCCCUUCUUCUCAACGGUGUUUGUUUCAUCCGUCUCCAAGUUGCCUUUGUUUUUCCCACCCUCCCUCCCUUUUGUUUUUCUUCAAGGACUAAGAUUUCUUCUUCAAGUAUCCAUUUUAUUGAUGGGAAGUUUCUCCAUUCUUUUCCGUCAAUGUUCUUAUCCGGUGAUUCUCAUGAAGAUUCUAAUGGAGCUUCAAGUUCGUCAUUCCUCAUUCUUUUCUUCUCCGGUGGAUUUAAUUUAAGCUUUGGUAUUAAGCAUACUACUUUUCUUUUUUUUCCAAUGCUUUUCUUAUGCCGGUGCACCUCUUAAUCAUCCAUCUCUCGCUAUUAAAUUGUUCCGGAGUGCUCAAGAUAUCUCGAAGAUUCGUGUUUCCACUCUACUUUCGUUCAAGUUCUUUCGAGGAUGUUCCCUCAUUCAAGCCAUUUAAUUCAACCGGUGCAACAUCUCUUUUAAAUCUUUUCAACGGUGUUCUUUUGAGUGGGCCCUAACCCACAGGUCUUUUCCCAGGGUCUUACCUGACUCUUCUAUUUUCCCAGAGCUAUCCUAAAUUCUUCUCCAAGUUUGACGUAAGAAUGAGUUAUCAUUAGUCAAAUGCUUUUCUCUAAGAUCUUUCAAAUUCUUUUCAUAGUUGGCUCAACCUCUUCGCUUUUGAUUCUUCCGGUGUGCCUCAAUAAUUCUUGGUGGUGUUUCUCGUUGUCAUUCUCAUCAUUUGAAGACCGAAGAAGAGUUUCUCUUUAAUCUUGCUCUAUUCUCUUCAAGAUUCAUGGUGCUAGCUUGUUGCCAUCCUCUCAUAAUUGUUUUCGAUUGUGAGAAUCUUUUUCACCCAUCAGGAGAUAUUCAAGAGUCUUCUCAGUUUGUCAUCCGGAGUCCAUCAAUUCAGGUUUAUUCAUUCUCAGCCGUCAGUUAUCAUUCUCCUAUCUUGCCGGUGCAUCUAUCGAAUAUCCUCUAAUCAGUUCUUGAUCUCUUUGUUCUCAUGUAUCUAGUUUGUCUCAAGCACCUUCGUUCAUUUGCUAAUUCUUACCGGUGAUGCACCCCUACUUCGAUCAUUUUCAAUUCUUACGGUGGUUCUUUCAAGAUCUCUCUUCCUUGUUCAUCAUAUCAAUUCAUUUGUUGUUCCAAUCCUACCGGUGGUUCAUUGAAGACCUUCUCAAGUUUACGCUAUAUCUCUUUUAAUCCUUUCUACGAGAAUAAGUAGUAUGCCAAAUCCGUUGAUUGUCGUCAAUUUAAUUGGUGAAGGAUAAGCAUAACAUAAUUCUUAUUCUUGUUCAUCCAAGUGAUUAAUUCUUUAUUCCGGAGGCCUUAAAAUUCUCGGUUUCAUUUGUUUCAUCUUCUCUUUUUCCCGGAGUUCCAAGCUCUAAUUAUCACGGAGAUCCAUCUAAAUCAUUGCAAGGAUUCACCUUGUGUUUUCAAUUUCUCUUUCUUUUCAUUCCUUUUGUUUACCGGAGUUCUUCAUGGAGGUUCUACAUGUUGGUUUAUAAAGGAUUUAAUUUCUUCUUGAAGUUUUCAUCGAGAUUCUUUCCUAAGGAGCAAAAGCUUUCUUUAUAUGGUAAUCUGGAGUGCAAUUCUUUCUACCAUAUUUUGGAGGUGGUAUUAUGUCAUUCUUGAUAAUUUGAGUUCAUGUUCCAUGAUUCACAUGUUGUUAAGAAUGAGUUAUUUUUUAAAUCCAUCAACCUCGUUGUUGGAGUUAUCUUGUGUCAUAUUUCACCUAAAAGCCUUCCAUUGGAAUGUUGCUAUUUGUGGUGCUUGCCAAUGAUCCAAGUUAUCUCUUUAUCAUCUUGGUGGAAGAAGUGUUCAUCUCUUCGUCGAUCUAAAGCUAGCAAUCGUUUCCGUUAGUGGCCGGUUGUCACCUCAUAAUUUUGAGAUGUUUUCCAUAAGCCCACUACAAGCUUAUUCGUUUCGUUGUUAGUUUUUCCCAACAACCCCGUUGUAACCUUCUUGGAAGGGUGCUUUCCAAGCUCAAUUGUGGCAGAAGUUGCCAUUUCCCCCUCCAUUCUGUUAUUCCAAUGACCUAUCUUCUAUUCUUUCUUCCGGAGGCAUUGUGACGUUGCUCUUUUCACUCACCAUCUCGAUUCAUGAGGAUCGUGUUCUUUUCUUGCUUAUCCAUUUAACCGGAGUGUCGUGUUUUCAUUCGAGUUCUCUAAUCUUAUCAAGUUUUCCCUCCUUCCUCAACUGGAGAGCUGUCUGAAAUCCUUCUUACCCAUUGUGUCAUUCUUUCAAUAGUUCCGGAGGCAGUGUGUUGUUGAUUUCAUCAAGUAACAUCCCAUCUUCUCAAGUUCAUGUUCUAUUCCUUCCAUGUUCAACCGGAGUACUGCCCGAAUUCUUCCCCUCUCAUCUUGUUUUAACCGGAGUGGUUUCGAAUUCUAUCUUGUCCAUUAAACUCUUGAUUCAUGUCUUUGCAACCUUCAAGUUCUCGUAAUGUUCCUUGUUCCUCUUUCUAACGGAUUGUUUGCAAUCUCGUUCAUCUCCUUUGUAUUCUUUCUUUCAAUUUGUUCAACCUCUCAAGGUUCUUUGGUUUCACUCAUUGGUCAAAGAAGCAACUUAGUUUACCCUCUUCUCUUCCUCUUCCGUUUCUCUCCGGUGCCAUCCUAGAUCUCGGGACAAGAUCCUCUCGUAGUGGUGGAGUGUUGUAACGCCCCGAGACCGACGCUCCAGAAGACUUUCCAGCUAUUCCGAGUUUCGUCGUGUGAUUUGUUUUAUUUAUUGCAUUCAUCCUUGCAUCAUGUCAUCAUGCCAUCAUAUCAUUAAUUUUUAAAACCUCAACUAAAUAAAUUGUAUGGAUUUUUCGAUCCAUUUAAAUCGAGGGACUCACAUGGUGACUUCUCUUUAUAACAUAUCCUCCAAUAUUAGGGAGCUAUAUUAAAUAUUCCACUAUUUUGGAAUCACCAAAACACACUUACAAAAUAAUUUCGUUCCUUUUCUGCUUCAAGUUUGGUCUCCAACCUUGCCAAUAUUUAUUUCAUCAUUUUCCGGAGCUCCGCCAAAAAUCACAACAUUUUUGGACCUUCCUUUUACCUAGUCCUAGUUCAAACCUAUUGAAUUAAAUUCAAAUGAUUUUGAAUUUAAUCUUGCAAUCUUGCUCACUUCUAUUUUCUUGGGACUAGCGCAUUUUUGUGAGUCCAAGAAUAUUAUUUGCAUGUGCUAAUUCUUUGCCUAUCCUUCUCUUUCUUUUCUUUCUCUUUUUCUGUUUUGUUUUAAAUGGGAAAAUGAGAGAGAGAAGAGAGAGUGCAGCCUGUAGCCCAGCCGGCCUCUAAGCCCAAGGCCCAGCUGCUGUGCCUCUAACCCUAGCCCGACCCCCUCGCUCGAUCCAUCUCUCCCUCGGUCGAUCCCCUCCUCCCUCGUUGCGCCGUCGCAGAGAGAGAGAGAGAGGAGCCCCGCUCCACCUCGCCCUUCUCCUCGCUGCAUCGCCCGAUCCCCUCGUCUCCGCCCCUUCCUCCCCUGCUCUUUUCCCUUCCUUCUUUCUCUCUCUCUUAUGUGCAGCUCUCCCCUUGUUCUCUUCUUCUUCACAGGGAACCGAGCUGCCAUGGCCGCCGUUCGUCCUCAUCGCCACCCUUCGGAUCCGCGCAGGAACAGCCUCCUCGGCGACCCCCUUUCUCGCCGGAGCACCGAAUCAGGAGCAGCCGUGGACGCCGUGUCGCAAGCAGCAGCAGCAGUCGAGCGCCUCGUUCCCUCUUCUGCACAUGGAUCCGCAUCACGCCGGCUGCUCCACCUCGGGUCCCCGCCGUCCUGCUUCUUCCCGGCGAGGGCCACACCUCUGCCUCGUUCGGUUCGAGCGAACGAACAAGCAGGAUGCCGUUCCGCCCUCUGCUUCACCUGGCAUCGAACGAGGAGACGAGGGCCUCGCCGUACCCGUUGACCGCUCGACCUCCUCUGCUUCGGCAUCGAUCCAGAGACGAACGCCGACCGCGCCCAGGCCCAGCUCGCGCGUGCCUCCGCGUCCAGCCCAGCUCCCUCCGUUGACCGCGCCCGCGUGGGCCGGCCCAAUCGUUCUCCCCGCGGUCCAGCCUCGCUCGGCCUCCUCCCCAGCUUCCUUAGCCAGAUCCGCCGGCCUCUCUCUGCAGAUGGGCCAAGGCCCAGGGUGAGCCGACCCCCAGCGCCCCCUCCUCUAUUUUUUUUUCUCUGUUGGGCGUGCCCAGUUUCAGCCCGAUCAUGUUUUUUUCUCGUCCUGCGAUUUUGUCUAAUAUUCCAGAGAUUGCAGUUUUGCAGAAUAACCCCCUAGCUUCAUGCAUUUAAUAACUAAUCAACGGUGCAUCCUUUGUAAAAACUUUGUAUAUGAAACUUGCUCAGAAUUUUGUGUAGAUUAAUAAUAUCCAACUUUCAUCUAUGUUUGAAAUGUUAAAAAUGUUGUUUGCAUUAAUUUACUCCUAUGCCAUGCUAAAAUGCUUUAUUUCAUAACUAAAUAAUCGUAGCUCCGAAUUAAAUAAACUUUAUAUGUACAUGGGGUAGAAAAAUGUCUAGUUUAACAUGGUGCACUCAUCUUGCAUGUUAAACAACUCUAAAAUUGUGUUUAGGGCAGAACAGUACCAAAUCUAAAAUAUGCUUUGGGGAUUUUCCAGAAUUGUUGUUCGUUACUUCCGGCCUCAUUUAAACUUGCCUAGAUAGGUAGUUUCGUUGUGCUUCACCCUCUUGCCAUGUUAACCAACAUUUAAUAUUGUUGAGUACAUAAACGAGAUCAAACUAAAUAACGUGUCGUGGUGUUUCAUCAAUAUGCAACUCGUUGCGUAUUGAGCUCCACUUAAUUUGUAGUGUUGUUUGUUGCACUUUGCCAUGCCAUGUUUCAUUAAACCGGACAUGCAUCAUACUCGAUUGUGCAUCAUGCCAUGUUGAUGUGCUGGUUGUUUACUAUGUUGUGUGCUUCUUUUCCGGUGAUUGCUUCUUCGGGUUGGUUUCGAUAACGUCACGUUUGUGAGGAUCCGUUCAACUACGUCCGUUUGUCUUCUUCAUGGACUCGUUCUUCUUCCUUGCGGGAUUUCAGGCAAGAUGAUCAUACCCUCGAAAUCACUACUAUCUUUGCUAUGCUAGUUUGCUCGCUCUUUUGCCAUGCCAAUGCUACGAUGCCUACCAUUUGCUUGUCAGCCUCCCAAAUUGCCAUGUCAACCUCUAACCCACCAUGUCCUAGCAAACCGUUGAUUGGCUAUGUUAACGCUUUGCUUAGCCCCUCUUAUAGCGUUGUUAGUUGCAGGUGAAGAUUGAAGUUUGUUCCUUGUUGGAACAUGGAGAUGUUGUUCCUUGUUGGAACAUGUUUACUUGUUGGGAUAUCACAAUAUAUCUUACUUAAUUAAUGCUCUUCCAGCAAUGCCCAACCUUGGUUUUACCAUUUGCCACCUAGCCUUUUCUUUCCCUUGGGUUCUGCAGACUCAAGGGUCAUCUUAUUUAACCCCCCCGGGCCAGUGCUCCUCUGAGUGUUGGUCCGAACCGGGCAGCCUGCGGGGCCACCUCGGGGAAACUUGAGGGUUGGUUUUACUCGUAGCUUGACCUAUCUGAGUGUGCCCUGAGAAAGAGAUAUGUGCAGCUCCUAUCGGGAUUUGUCGGCACAUUCGGGCGGUGUUGCUGGUUUAGUUUUACCCUGUCGAAAUGUCUUGUUGUACCGGGAUACCGAGUCUGAUCGGAACGUCUCGGGUCGAGGUCUAUUCCUUUGUUGACCGUGAGAGCUUGUCAUGGGCUAAGUUGGGACACCCCUGCAGGGAUUUGAACUUUCGAAAGCCGUGCCCGCGGUUAUGGGCAGAUGGGAAUUUGUUAACGUCCGGUUGUAGAAAACCCGAAGUUGACCUUAUUUAAAAUACAUCAACCGUGUGUGUAACCGUGAUGGUCUCUUCUCGGCGGAGUCCGGGAAGUGAACACGGUUGUUGGAGUUAUGCUUGACGUAGGUUGCUAUAGGAUCACUUCUUGAUCAUACUUUUAUCGACCGUGCUUUGCCUUCUCUUCUCGCUCUCAUUUGCGUAUGUUAGCAGCCAUAUAUGCUAGUCGCUUGCUGCAGCUCCACCUCAUUACUCCAUCCUUCCUAUAAGCUUAAAUAGUCUUGAUCUCGCGGGUACGAGAUUGCUGAGUCUCCGUGGCUCACAGAUACUUCCAAAACCAGUUUGCAGGUGCCUAUGUUACCGAACAGGUGACGCAACCAAGCUCAAGGAGGAGCUCGAUGAAGAUCUUGCCCUUUGUGUUGUUUCGUUCUAGUUGAUCAGUAGUGGAGCCCAGUUGGGGUCGAUCAGGGACCUUUGUUGCAUUUGGGGUUCUUCUUUUAUUUUGGUUUCGUAGUCGGACCUUGAUUGUAUCUAGAUGAUGUAAUGCUUUAUUCAUGUAAUUGUAUGAAGUGGCGAUUGUAAGCCAACUAUGUAUCUCUUUCCCUUAUGUAUUACAUGGGUUGUGUGAAGAUUACCUCACUUGCGACAUUGCUUUCGAUGCGGUUAUGCCUCUAAGUCGUGCUUCGACACGUGGGAGAUAUAGCCGCAUCGAGGGCGUUACAAUAACAGUUGGAUUUCAUCCCUCGCUAUAUAAGGUAGUCAUCUUCCCCCAAGUUGACUUCCCUCUUCCCACCCCAAGCUUCAUUGUUGCUGACAAGCUCAUUUCCGCAUGAUCUCUCUCACUAGCCAAUCAAACUUGUUGAUUCUUUAGGGAUUGGUUUAGAAGCCCUAGAUCUAUACUUCCGAGAAAUUUGAUUCCCCCCACUAAUCCCUUGCGAAUCUUGUUACUCUUGGGUGUUUGAGCACCCUAGACGGUUGAGGUCACAUUGGAGCCACAUUCCAUUGUGGUGAAGCUUCGUGGUGUUGUUGGGAGCCUCCAAUUCGGUUAUGGAGAGAGCCCCAACCUUGUUUGUAAAGGUCCGGUUGCCGCCUCCAAGGGCACCACUAGUGGAAUCACGAUAUCUUGCAUUGUGUGAGGGCGUGAGGAGAAUACGGCGGCCCUAGUGGCUUCUUGGGGAGCAUUGUGUCUCUACACCACUCCAACGGAGAUGUACUUCCUUCCAAAGGGAAGGAACUUCGGUAACAUAUCCUCGUCUCCACCGGCUCCACUCAUGGUUACUUCUUACCUUUACUUUGUGCAAGCUUUGCUUGUGUUGCAUCCUUUGCUUGCUUGUGUUGUUGUUGUUGUUGUUGCUAGCAUCAUAUAGGUUGCUCACCUAGUUGCAUAUCUAGAAAACCUAUUUGUUGCUAACCCUAAUUUGUUAAGAAAAGCUAAAAAUUGGUAGUUACCUAUUCACCCCCCUCUAGUGAACCAUAUCGAUCCUUUCAGAUAGUCCAAUAGUGUAAAUCAUAUUAGGGUUUGGCUAAUAAUGUUUUGUACAAAAAUAUACGAAUUUUGUUCGCUUAAUUUUUUUGGAAAUGCAUAUACGAAAAAUGUUUUUGACAUUUGAAAAAUGUUUCACGCAUUUCAAAAAAAUGUUUUCCACAUUUAAAGAAAUGUCUUUACGAUGCAAACAAUAUUUUCAUAAUUAAAACACAAUGAUUCCUACCUUUUGAAAAAUGUUGAUGGCAACAAAAAAUGACAACAACAACAACAACAAAACCUUUCGGUCCAAAAUAAGUUGGGGUAGGCUAGAGUUAAAACUCAUAAGAUACCAAAAAUCCGAAAACAAGUCAUGGUUCUAGCACCUGGAUAGCCUACUUAAUUCCACGCAUCCAUGUCCAUGGUUAAAUCGUUGGUGAUAUUCUAGUCCAUCGGAUCUCUUUUUAGGAACCCAUCCUAUGUCAAAUUUGGUCUACCCCGACUCGGCUAUGCACUGGCACUUCAAGCUUGCCUAUUUAAAAAAUGUUGAUGACAUUUUUUAAAAAUAUCCACGCAUUUCAAAAAAUAUGUUUGUGACAUUUAAAAGAAACAAUUUAUACAAUGUAAAAAAAUAUUUCCUACCAUUCAAAGAAAAUGUUCAACAUGUUUUUGAAGAAUGUUUAACAUGUAGUCAAAAAUGUAUCUAAAAUAAUAUUCAACAUGUAUUUAAAAAGUUUAGCAUGUACAAAAACACGUCCUGCGUUUGUAGGAAAAAUGCAGAACGGGCACUGAAAGACAUGCUAGAGCAUUAGUAUUAAAUAUAAAGUGCAAUUCAUUUUGGAAUUUUAGAAAGACCCCCUCCCCUAGAUGGCUAUUUCCUACUUUGAACUAUAUGAUGGUCGUCUGCCUGAAGCAUAAAAUUCAAUAGGCACCAUUGCAGCGCCCUGCCCGAGACUGGCCUUAAUUUGACCUCUCAUUGCACAUGUGUCAUUGGUGUGCGGAUCAGAGUUGAGACAACUCUAUUUAUAGGGAUUCUACAUGGUGGAUCUCGAGAAAGGUGACGAGCUAAUAACCGUGGACAUGCUCAGAUACUCCCAAUACAUGAUUAAGUUUUUCUCAUUCCCUGAAUUACCUUUUGUCUUGCAAAUGCUAAAUAUAUCAAUAUAUCUUCGUUGGUGCAGAGUGUAUAGAAAGGAAGUUGUAGAACUGCCGCUUGUCGGGACCCAAUUCACACAUUAUCGGCAACGAAUAAUGUGCCACAUCCUAAUGAACCAAAUGGAAAAGUUGUGUCUAAUGCUUGGGUUGUUCAAUGCAUAUUUCUUGGCUUCUACAAAAUGUUUUCAAAUUCACAAUCGCAAGUUAUGACACAUUUACUUUGCCAAGGACAUGGAGAGGGUUUAUACACUUGUUCAUAGUUUACAAAGUUUGACUUCUAAACAUUAUUAUAUGUAUAGUAAUUUUUCAAGGAGGGAGUAUAAUUUACUAUAAACAUCAUCAUAAUUCCAACAAAUAGUCUCAAAUUAGCAUUAUCAUUUUGGAAUUUUAGAAAGGGGGGCCAUGCACCCCCCCCCUCUCCAGUUCGUUCAUGUGACAUACCGGCUCGUAACCGAUGCGAACACCCGUGAUCCACCAGAAAAACUCGAGUUUGGUAUUCAUCUUCUCAUCAGGUCCGCUGGCCGGAAGCAUCCUAGUUGUGUCUCGCGUUAGCGUCGGACGAUCAUGGACAUCGCGAAGUACGUCGAGUUCAUGGUUGGCGGCGGCCGGGGCAACAUUUAGAUAUAGCUAGCAUAGUAAAUAUAGGAAAGUACUAGCAUACUGCUUCUCAUAGAUAAUGCAUUUUUUGGCAAGGAGGGAGUAUAAUUUAGUCUAAACAUCAUCAAAAUAGUGCUAAAAUACGUGGUACAUUUUUUUGGAAUUAUAGAAAGAGGCCACGGCGAGCGCGUCGGAGUGGAGGUCCGAGAGGGAGAAGCCACAACGGAUCUACCAACAGAUGAAGAGCAGCAUAUCCGCUACUCAUGUGAGUAUGACGGGUAUGUCCCACUUUGCCACCACAUGCCGUGUGUGUAGGGGGGGGGGGUGCUAAGGCGAGGAAGAUCUUCAAAAUUUGGAGGGUGGCAGUGGGGUGGCUUUGUGAGCUAGGGGGUUCUGCGGUACAAGUGGCACACAACAACGAGGAGGGUUUAUACCACACCCACAGAAUGUCGACAAAGCAAGUUUCUAGGCUUCUACAAAAUGUUUUCAAGUUCAUGACCGCAAAUUAUGACAAAAUUUACUUUGUCGGGGACAUGUCAAGGAUUUAGAAACUUGAUGAAAAUUUAUAAAGUUUAUCUUUAAAAAUAUAUUAUAUGUAAAGUAAUCUGGCAAGGAGGGAGAUAAUUUAGUUUAAACAUCAUCACAAUUCUAAGAAAAUAGUCUGGAAAUAGUAUUAAAGUGCUAGAGCAUUAGUAUUCAAUACAAAAUGAAAAUCAUUUUGGAAUUUUAGGAAGGGGGACAUGCCCCCUCCCCUACCAAGAAUUUUGGAAGAAUUGGUUGAAACAUAAAUUUAAUAUGCACCGCCGCGCAGUGCCCUAGCCGAGACCGACCAUAAGUUAACCUCUUGUUUCCGCUUUGUUUUGGAUCGCAACUAACUUGGAGACGCGAUAUUAGACAAAGUUCAAUUCAUGUGCUCCUGAUGUCUACUACACAACCUUCUUCUUGUAGACGUUGUUGGGCCUUCAAGUGCAGAGGUUUGUAGGACAACAACAAAUUUCCCUCAAGUGGAUGACCUAAGGUUUAUCAAUCCGUGUGAGGCGUAUGAUGAAGAUGGUCUCUCUCAAACAACCAUGCAUCGAAAUAACAAAGAGUCUCUUGUGUCCCCAACACACCCAAUGCAAUGAUAAAUUGUAUAGGUCCACUAAUUCGGCGAAGAGAUGGUGAUACACGUGCAAUAUGGGUGGUAGAUAUAGGUUUUUGUAAUCUGAAAAUAUAAAAACAGCAAGGUAACUAAUGAUAAAAGUGAGCACAAACGGUAUUGCAAUGCUUCGAAACAAGGCCUAGGGUUUAUACUUUCACUAGUGCAAGUUCUCUCAACAAUAAUAACAUAAUUGGAUCAUAUAACAAUCCCUCAACAUGCAACAAAGAGUCACUCCAAAGUCACUAAUAGCGGAGAACAAACAAAGAGAUUAUUGUAGGGUACGAAACCACCUCAAAGUUAUUCUUUCCGAUCAAUCCAUUGAAUUAUUCCUAUAAGUGUCACAAACAACCCUAGAGUUCAUAGUAAAAUAACACCUUAAGACAUAAAUCAAUCAAAACCCUAAUGUCACCUAGAUACUCCAAUGUCACCUCAAGUAUCCGUGGGUUUGAUUAUACGACAUGCAUCACACAAUCUCAGAUUCAUCUAUUCAAACCAACACAAAGAACUUCAAAGAGUGCCCAAAGUUUCUACCGGAGAGUCAAGACGAAAACGUGUGCCAACCCCUAUGCAUAAGUUCACAAGGUCAUAAAACUCGCAAGUUGAUCACCAAAACAUACAUCAAGUGGAUCACGUGAAUAUCCCAUUGUCACCACAGAUAAGCACAUGCAAGACAUACAUCAAGUGUUCUCAAAUUCUUAAAGACUCAAUCCGAUAAGAUAACUUCAAAGGGAAAACUCAAUUCAUCACAAGGAGAUAGAGGGGGAGAAACAUCAUAAGAUCCAACUAUAAUAGUAAAGCUCGCGGUACAUCAAGAUCGUGCCAUAUCAAGAACAUGAGAGAGAGAUCAAACACAUAGCUACUGGUACAUACCCUCAGCCCCGAGGAUGAACUACUCCCUCCUCAUCAUGGAGAGCGCCGGGAUGAUGAAGAUGGCCAUCGGUGAUGAUUUCCCCCUCCGGCAGGGUGCCGGAACAGGGUCACGAUUGGUUUUUGGUGGCUACAGAGGCUUGCGGCGACGGAACUCCCGAUCUAGGUUUCUUUUCAGGGGUUUCUGUAUUUAUAGGAAUUUUUGGCGUCGGUCUCACAUCAGGGGGGUCUCCGAGUCAUCCACGAGGCAGGGGGGUGCGCCCAGGGGGGUAGGGCGCGCCCUCCACCCUCGUGGAUGGCUUGGGACUCUUCUGGCCCAACUAUUUUACUCCGGGGGCUUCUUUUGGUCUAUAAAAAAUCAUCAAAAAUUGGCACAUUAAUUGGACUCCAUUUGGUAUUCCUUUUCCGUGAAACUCAAAAACAAGGAAAAAAAACAGAAACUGGCACUGGGCUCUAGGUUAAUAGGUUAGUCCCAAAAAAUCAUAUCAAAUAGCAUAUAAAUGCAUAUAAAACAUCCUAGAUGGAUAAUAUAAUAGCAUAGAACAAUAAAAAUAUAUAGAUACGUUGGAGACAUAUCAACUCCCUAUAAGAUCGUUGCUCUUAUUUCGAAAAGUCUAUAACUAAAUCAUGUGCGCUUGCGGGACAUCAACCUUCAAACCUUCACAAACUUUCCGGGUGUAAAUCACAAGUUGAUUCCUCGCUGGAGUAAUCCUAUCACCUUGGAGUUUCCAACCUCCAAGAGCAACAAAAACAAAAGGGAAAUGCUAAAGACUAGCUCAAAUCAUGAAUCACUUUGGUCAAAAGAGAGAGCAGGAUUUGAUAUGCUUGGGUGAAAUCUCUCUCAAAAUUCUCAAGAAUCCCCCAAUAAAUCUUUGAUCCGGUGGUAGGGAAGUGAGAGGGAGCCUCUUCUUAGAUUUGGUCAAGUGUAUAUGGAGUGGUCAACUCCUCCACUGAGUGGUGAAGGCGUAUAUAGGUUUGGGGAAGAAGUGAAAAAAUGCAUUAGCAGACAGUCCGCUAGAUCUAGACCGAAUAGUCCAAUAGUGUAAAUCAGAUUAGGGUUUGGCCAACAAUGUUUGUACAAAAAUGUACAACUUUUGUUCGCUUAUUUUUUUUGGAAAUGUUUGUACAAAAAAUGUUCAUCAAAUUAAAAAAAUGGUUUGCGCAUUUAAAAAAAAUGUUCAUGACAUUUAAAGAAAUGUCUUUACCAUGCAAAAAAUAUUUUCAUAAUUAAAGCAAAAUGAUUCCUACCUUUUAAAAAAUGUUGAUGGCAACAAAAAACAACAACAAAGCCUUCCGGUCCCAAAUAAGUUGGGGGAGGCUAGAGUUAAAACUCAUAAGAUACCGAAAAUCCGAAACAAGUAAUUGUUCUAGCACCUGGAUAGCCUACUUAAUUCCAUGCAUCCAUGUUCAUGGUUAAACCUAGUCCAUCAGAUUUUUUUACGCACUCAUCCUCUGUCAAAUUUGGUCUACCCCGACUCGGCUAUGCACUGGCACUUCAAGCUUGCCUAUUUAAAAAAUGUUGAUGACAUUUUUGAAAAAUAUCCACGCAUUUCAAAGAAAAUGUUCAACAUGUUUUUGAAGAAUGUUUAACAUGUAGUCAAAAAUGUAUCUAAAAUAAUAUUCAACAUGUAUUUAAAAAAGUUUAGCAUGUACAAAAACACGUCGCACGCUUGUACGAAAAAUGCAGAACGGGCACUGAAAGACAGUCAUGCAUUGAAAAUAAAGCAAAGAAGAAAGUAAACCAAAAAAGAAACAGAAAAAAACAGAAGAAAAAUAAUGAAAAGUUUUGAAACCGAUCCAUGAAUAAAAGCUUUCGAAAACCAGUUUAAUAGAUAGGCAGCCCAGUAAAACCGGACGGACUCUCCCUCCCCGCCCCACCCUAAUAACAAUAGAAAAAAACUAUCCCCUCCCAACUCACUUCCUCUCCUCUCAUCUCUUGCCGGCCGCCACUGCUAACCCUAGACCCCAAAGAUUCCUCUUUUUCCCCUCGGAUUCCAUCGUCGACCGACCCGGCCGGCGGCCAUGAGCGCCGUCGUCAGCCCGCCUGUCCUCCCCGACCCCCGCGGCGCCCCGAGCUGGGUCCUCCUCGACACCGCGGGAUACAUCGCCAAACGCGGCAACGCCACCUUCGCCAAGACCUUGGGGAGCAACGGCCAGCCCAUCGGGGUCACCUUCUGCACCGCCGCUCCGCCCCACGUCUCCCACUUCUGCGUCCACUGCCCCGGCCUCGCGCCCGCCGACUUCCUCGAGGAUCCCAAGGUGAUCGCCGCCGAGGCCGACCUCGUCCUCUUCCGCCUCUGCGUCGACCCCCUGGCCGUCGCCGGCGAGCGCCUCUUCGACUACUUCCUCUACACGGCGCACCCUCGCCGCCCCUCGCUCCAGCUUCUCCCGCACCCCUACCCCUACCUCUUCCACGACUGCGAGGCCGCCCUCCUGCGCUGCGGUGAGGAUGAGUACGCCAUCGCCGCUCUCAGGAACAUCGAUGACUACUUCACCGACGAGCCGCAGAUGUCCUUCAACCUUUACCUCUACCGCUCGUCCAGGCCCGGCGAGGGGUGGACCGCCAGGGUGGUGUCGGUGGAGGAGCCACUCAGGGACACGGUCUGCCCGGUGGAGGAGCCCAAGCGGGUUCCAUGAGACGACCAAGGCGAUCACGCUUGGAGGCGGCGCCGUUGGCUGGGUUGAUCUCUGGCGUGGCAUCCUCGUCUGCAACGUGUUCGAUGAAAAGCCUGUGCUCCGGGACGUGCCGCUGCCGCUGCCGGCAAGGGGUAACUGGGAAAUCUACCACAGAUGUGGCCCUUACUUUGCUCGGGACAUCGCGGUCAGCCCACAGAAAGACGUCAUCAAGUAUGUCGAGGUUGAAAUUUGCCUGCCAAGGAAGCCGACUACUACAAAGACGACUGAAACCUGCCACCCCCCGGAGCCGGAGUCCUACCUGGAAUGGUUCCGCCAACAGCAACACGAAGAUGAGGACGACGACGAUGAUGAUGAAGACGUUGGUGGCUGGAAGGCCACAACAUGGAGCUUGCCUGUCCCUAUUGCUUCAUGGGAGAACUGGCACUUUGACUACACCGUCGAUGUCGAUGACAUUACUGUCAACCCAUUGCAUUGUAAUCUGCUUCCAAGGCAGCUGCAGCCCACAGAGGCACAAGCAUUGCUGCCAGGACUCAUCACUGCUUUCCCCAUCAUGAGUAUGGAUGACGAUCUUGUCUACCUCUUGUCCAAGGCCAGCCCCAAAGACCAGAUGCAAGUUGUGAUUGCUGUUGACGUGAGGAGGAAGAUGCUGCUGGGAGUGGCCAAGCUUGUUACUGGAAAAGACUUCACUUUUAUGCGCACUUGCACCAGUGAGAUCUCAAAAUAUAUCAACAAUAAAUCUUCAGGUAAUAUACCCGCUUGGUGUCCUUAAUUAUGACUAUCUCUCUAUGAGUUCACGUGUUAUCUUUAUGUUACCUAAUGAUGAAAUUAAACACAAUACCUCUGGAUCACUGAGAAACCUGCACUGCAACCUCCCUUUCAGUUUAUAAGGCAGGCAUGUAUUUCCAGAUCAUCAAUUUGACCAAUGAAAUAGUAUAUAUUUAUUUCCUAUAAAAAGUUCACUUUAAUUUGUAUUCGAACAAAGUUUUAAAUGGUACUCCCUCCGUAAAGAAUUUCUUCACAGAGGGAGUAUAUUUUUGUGGCAUAUAAACUCAUUUCGUUGGUCGAAUUGAUGAUAUAGAAAUAUGUGUGCCUAACAAACUGAAAGAAAGAGAGGGAGUAUGUUGGUACUCGCCGAGCAAAUCUGUUGUCAUAGCUUUAUGAAGGGAAGUAUUGUGAUUGUUUAGACAGUGGAGUUCAAGAGGGCUAGAGAUGUAGUUACUCUUCCAAAUAGGAUGCACCCCCUUGUUAAUUCGGAAAGGGGUAAGACCAACAAGGGCCCUAUGGUGGUACCUUUUGGUUUACUAUAUGGUCUGAAUGACCAAAUAAUUAUGGCUAAAAGUUUCGUGUUUGUUUUAUCCUUGUUUUGUGACAACAUGACUUCACACACUAGUUAACUCAAUUCAGUACUGUCACACUGAUGGUGAUGAUGGUGUGGAAUAGGAGGGUAAAGGUAGAUGUUAGAUUCAGUACUUUGCUUUGUGAGUCGUAUAUGAACCGAUAAAGCAAUUCUUUGGUCUCCAGGCCUUAGUAAGAAAAUUAAUAUAGUAAAUUGUGUUAGAUUUUUAAAAGCAGUUCUUCUAACUGAAGAUCAGAACUGUUGUACAAAUCAACUUGCAGAACAUUUGGUUUUCUGUAGCAGUGGUGAUGGUGGGAUGCUGGCAGAAAAAAGAACCCAGACAUCAUAUUUCGAAGGACAAUGUUAAGUGAACUUGAAAGUUUGAAUUAAUUAACAUUAUAAAGGCAGAGGAUAUGCCUCUGUUCCUAGACAAAUUUACAUUGUGCUAUAUUCGACAGUAAGCAUGCCAUUUGAGGAAACGUUUCCAGACCUUUUCUCUGCUUUGACCGCUAAUAAUACAAAAAAUAUUCGGAUUUAUCAUGCAAAAAUCUUAUUAUUACUAGAUUUUGCAUAAACGAUUUUCAGUUGGAAGCUAAACAUAUAAAAUAAAAAUAAAAGUGGGCAUAGGUAUGUGUAAGAUAUAUAUUUCACCAAACCAGGCUGAAAAAGUGACUGUCGCUGUAAUUUUGUAGUCAUUCUUGCUCAGACUUUGACUUGCUGUUUUAAAAAGGGACAACCUAUGCACACACUUGUUGAUUGAAGAGAAUAUUUUUUGGAUGUAGGGGAUGUUUCCAAAGCAUCGGCCAGUUUAUCUGCUGCAAGCAGAGGGGUAGCGGAUAAACAAACUGAAGGUCUCAUGCAGAAAUUUACCAGUAGACAGUGUCCUGGAGAAAAUUCAAAGGAACGUCAAAAGCUUUUUGAAUAUCUACGCAGUAGAAGAUCGUAAACAGCUAACUGCUGCUACUAGUUUUAUGCAAUGAAUGAGCUGCUUUGCUACCUGUGUUAUAAUAUGUGAUGAAGAAGUGUUGUGCUAAGUCAAUUUGCUAUUGCUGGGACAUCGCAUUUCUGAUAUUAUUAGAAGGAAUUGACAUUUUCCCUUUUUCUUUACCAAGAGCAUUUCCUCUUUAUAUACUCCUCUACUUAAAGCUGGCUACUACAGAGCUAGCUUUAAUGCGAGACCCCGUUUCGUGCACUGUUGAGCAGCCAAAUCUUUACAAAGUUCAAACUAGAUCGAAGAGAAAAUGUUGAUCAUCUGGAUGAUACUAACUGCUAGAACAGGCUCAAUAGCAGUUCUAUUUAAGUAUAUAGAAUUCAGCAAGUUGAUGAGGACGUGAGGGGUUAGACUUGCAAAUCACUUCUGCAGAGGCACGGCCAUGGGCAAAAAAAAAAAAAAAGAACGUCUAUCCAUGGAGCAGGUUUGGUAGGCACUCUGCAUCAAGUCAUAUGUACCAUAAGGUUGACAUUGGUUAUGUGAUCAACAUCGUCAAGCACGAGCAUAAAAACAUAUUGAAUAAACAGACCAAAGCAUUUGGACUAGAUUGUGCGCCAGUUGGAACAAAACAUUUGCUCACUCAACUUCAGAUUUGAAGCUUGGCACCGAACGAGGACAGGGCGUCGACCCGUUGGCUGGGCAGCUGAGGUUGCUGCCAGCCCUCCCGAGUUCGAGUCCCGGCGACGCGCGGUGCUCACGGAGUUUCUCCUAUAAAAAAAAGCCAACAAGGGUUAGCCCUUGGGUUGGUCUCAUUUUUUUUUUUGAAGCUUGACACCAAACCGCUUUGACUUGCAAACAAGCAGGAUGAUUAUAGCCUCUGUUUUGAAGCGACAACAGGGACAAAGCUUGUGAGCUUGCUGAUGUUUCUCGUACCUCGUUCCAAAGAGAAUGCAAAGAAUCAGGAUCACUCUGAAAUGCAUCUCGUUAUCAAUGCCCAUAGUUUCACAAAGAAAAAGAGGCUCUUCGCACCCCACCCUGGUAAUAUGAGAUGAUCUUAUUAAUAUAUACCACUAGACCAGAGAAUAAUUUAUGACAUACUCAUAUAAAAUCUUUUAAUAAAUCUUGCAAGCAUGUCCUUUAUGCGCUUUUAGAAGAGUAUUUCGCUGAAGCAAUGACCUACUUCCACCAAAGGAUGUCAUCGCCUUCUUGUAUAAUUGGUGCAAUUUCUUGACCGGGCUACCCUCCCAACGUUAGGGGGCGUUUGAGGAUCCUAUUGUAGAGGCUCUUAGGUUUUGCUCAAAAAAGAUGUUUGUAGGUCACAAAGCUCAUACCCAGAAUACACUAGGAAGGGACACAUGAUAAGGAUACUUCGAGAAGAACAUGCAGAGAUUCAGGUCUUUACUCUUGGACCUUGCAGCGGAGUGGAUGGCAGCCUCAACUUUGAACUUUCAGAAUCUUUUUCUUUAUGCCUCACGUUGUGUCACCAUUUUCCAUGUACCAAAUAUUUUAUAAUGAUCGUUUCACCAGAAAGAGCUUUUUUCCUUUUCUGAGUCGACCAGAAAGAGCGCCUUCACACCUAACCAAGCAGCAACACAAUUUUACCAAUGUUGAGCAAGAACAAGUCAAAAAUAAAAAUAGAAGCAAUACUAGCCAUCUACUAAAACAAUGUCCACAGAACAUUCUAAGGUGAACAACCACAGAUUAUAACCACAAUUACACAAGACAUUACUAAACCGUUCGUUGUGCGGUAACAGACAAACAGCAACCAGCUCGGCAGACAUGGAUCAAUAUAUACAAGUUAUAGCACGAGGUUCAACCAGUCUCCGUAUGAAUGUAGCAGAAUUUGACGGCUCAGACAAAUAGUACAGAGCAUAAAAGCACAAGAGCUUAACGGUAGGGGGGGUGGGGGGGGGGUGGGGGGGUCUGGUUCUCUUCCAGGUGGCUAUCCUUGAGGGCGUCAUGUUCUUGUGGUGGCGCAUGGCGGUGACGCAGCUCACAGUGCUUGUGCACAGGCUUGCAGAGUCAGUUGAUCCUUGGGUCGUUGCGACAGCAUCGUGUGCAACACCAACGAGGAGGACCUCGGUUUCUUCAGUAACAGACGUCUGUUCCUCUGGAUAAAACCCUGGUGCUUGGGCUUAUCAUAGACAAUGCCCUUGGGCACUGGCCUCUUCCUGACACAGAUACGGUAGACCACAUGCCCCUGGUCACAAGAACAUAUACGAGGUAAGCAAAGGAUAAAAUAUUAAGCCGUUAUACCAUGGAGAAAGGAGUACAGAAUAAGAUAGACCUGUGAAUGGGCAAAGAAAGCUGCAGAAAUCAUAAGCUAUGCAUGCACCAACGCUAAAUGGGCCAUAAAAUUUUACUAAAUGAUAACACCACUGAGCAUCUAAUAACAAAUAUCGAAACUACCAAUUGAAACCACAAUGCAAUGUAUAAACCAAAGUAACUUGCUGCAUAGAAAUCUAGUGACAAUACUUCCGUGUGCAAGACUCAAGUAGAAGCAGACAUCUACACUGAAACAACACAAGCAUUAGGCACAAAAGGUUUUGCACCAACUAUGUCCGCAAUACAUGAGUUUCAGAAACCAUAAACUGAACGACAUAGUUAAAAUUAGUACUCAGAAACAAAGACAACAAAGGCAAGAGGUUGAAACUUGUACACUUGGUACCUAAUGCAGGAGACAACCCUAUGUCAUCAUAAUCUUACGCAUCAAAUAAUCUCUUAUCGAUGACCAUCCCUUCCGUCACCAACAGAAGAUCCCAGACAUCAUUCAACCUACAAAAGGUGCAUUUCGGUUAGUACAUAUGCUUGGUGCUAGAAUUGUAUAUAGUAUACACUUAACAGACCAAAUGCUUAGCUUGCACACGUAUUACUCCAUAUAGCAAGUAAGGCUUGGUACAAUGAAUCUCCAUAGAGCACAGAAUUUUCAAGUCAAAAGUACAGAGGAGAUGGGAUCCCACAAGUAUCUACUGGAGCAUUUCAUUGAAGAUUAUAAACAUACCCCCUUUAUCAUUGGGAGUACUGAUAACAAAAGCAAUGUAGAAACACACUUUCAAUAAGAGACUAACUGCACAUCACAUGCUUUUUAAACUCUAUUCCAUAGUGCAAUCGAAUAGUUGAUUUAUAACUGCACAUCGCAUACUGGAGAUUGUAAAAAAGAACAUGCAAGGACACAGGAAGUACUUACAUCACUGACACUUCUUCAGUUAUGCAAGCAGAAAAAAUAAGUUGCUGCAUUAUCGAUGGCAUUUGAUGCAAAAUGUGACACAAUAGAAGAUCUAUUUCAACCAGCCUCUUUAUUUUAGCUUUGCCAUCCUCCUGUAACAAAAAAUAUUUUAUGAAGAUGAUUCUUACUUGACAAAGAGGAAGAACUAAGUGAUUCAUAUGGUAACCUCACCGCGGGUUCUGCCAGAUGCUGUAUACAAUUGCGUACAAAUGUUAGGAGGCUUUCAAGUGAUGAAUCAUACACAAGAUCUCCAUAAUUUUGAAGCGGUGUAGUCAUCUUCACAGGGGAGCCUUCCUUGGGGGAGCCUUGGGGCUGUUUCUUCUUUUUCUCUUUCUUCUUCUGUUUCUUCUUCUCUUUCUUCUUCUCUUUCUUCUUCUCUUUCUCUUCCCUAAGAUGUAAACCUCAAGGAGGGUCGGAUUCUUUUUUACCAGUUAUCUCCAAUCAGGCACCUGUACCGUGAAACCCCUCAGAGCUGUUGAUAAUGCAUUCCUUCCUUCUUUGCUUAGAAACCUAUGGACCCUUCCCAGCUCGGUCCAAAAUUGCGACCUGAUCAUUGCUGAUUUUAUUGAAAGAUGUGUCAUCGUAAAAAAUCUAAACUUUCUAGCCAAAUCCCGAGUAAAAUGUCGAGGCCUGAAUUUUCUCAGAGAGUUGCCAAGAGCCUUGAAAAGAGCAGCUUCCCCAAACAAGGGAAGGAACUCGCUGGCAAAAUUCCCAUAGUCCUUCAGUAAUGCAUCUGGAGAAGAACUCACAACGGUUGGUUUCCAUAUCAUAAACUCUGAGUCAUCGACUACCACAAAAUCUUUCUUUUGGAGAGUCCCAUUCCAACUGUUACCCAGUGCAUGUUCUACAGUCAUUUUAUGCAAAUAAGAAGUCACUGCUCUUCUUCCUAUCAAUGUUGUUUCAUCAACCUCCAUGGAAUUUGCACCAGAAAAUAUUGUAUGUUUUGCGGUUAUUGCAUUACCAGGCAAUUUAAUAAAUUCAGUGAAUGGUACCACACUGCAAAUAUAACAUUCAAAUUAUGUUAAUAAAUCAACUCAAAUGAAAAAUACAACUUCGAAUAAGCAACAGUAUGCACAAACAACAAAGAUGGUAAACGCCACAAAAUAAAUUAACUCAAAUGAUAAAUACAACUUUGAAUAAGCAACAAUAUAGACAAACAACAGAGAUGGUAAAUCCAGAAAACAUGUUGUAUUUGAGACAACCAUAAUGGUUUAUUAUUGUGUGCGUGGAAAUAAGAGCUCUACUCCAAAAAAGACUGUUUGGCAUCAUAGCAAUUUGCAAAGCUGGAACCCCUGUCCAAGCAUCGGAAAAGGUCAAACCUGGAGGUGCCAGCAUUCGCUGCAGAUGGAAACAACUUGUAAGCAGAAGCUGUGGAUGAUAGACUUUCCAAGGCAGUGUUAGAUGAUGAGUCAGACACCUUAAAUCUGUGUGCCUUCCUUUUUGAAGUUACUACAGUCCAAUCACCCCCAUGAGUCUCGUCGGUCCCAAUUACUAGUGGCUUCCCAAUUACUAGUGGCUUCCAUUUUAAAGUUACUCCAGAAAAGUUAGCCUCAAGGGUGCCAAAAUGAGUUAUAGAAGUGGUGCCCCAUGAUGGGGCAGUCUGCGCAAGUGGGACAGAAACCUGCACAGAGGGCUCCGCUGAAUCCCUUGCAAGGCAACUAAGGUCUGCAAGGUCAUUUCUUGGACUAAAAGAUCCAUCAACAGACUUCUGCUCCUGUGUGACCUGCGUGCAGGUCUCCUUUGAGCGAGCUAGAAAUUGCCUUGUAUGGUUAAGAAAGCCCGCGUCGUCACCUUUUGAAUUAAAAAGUCCAUCAACAAAUUUCUGUGCCUGUGGGAAACAUAAACUUCAGGUUGAAGCUAGUUAGUUAAAAUAAGAUACAGUACUCGAGAGAUCAUACCAUUUUAUCUGUCAUGCCAGGAAAUGCUGAACUGAGAAAUUUUAUAGUACAGUCUUGAACAAACAUCAUGUUGCAUUGUGUGGAUGAGAUAAGGGGUUCAGUCAGAACAUCAACCUAAACAUGUCAGAAGAGGUAAAAAUCAAAGAGGCACACACAAAUGUCAUAUAAUAAAACAGCAAAUGAGUAUUAACAUACCGCAUUAAACAAAUGUUGUAGCACAGAAACAUGACGUUCAGAACAAGAAUUGUUGGGCAUGCCCAUAAGAAUAGUGAGUAUCGUUUGCUCAAUUCUCAAGAGAUUUGUUUUGUAGAAUUGGUUUUGGAACCCUGAAGCCUGGCAUGAUAAGACACAAUAAACUUACGUGUAACUAUACAACAUUAAAUGAGGAAUUGCCACAAUAUCCGAUAAAGAUAUGCCUAUUAAGCACCUGAACGUUCUGUAGUACAUCCAAUAACAGGCACAGGACAGUCUCAACAAUGUUUAUCUCCCUCCGCUGUAGUGCCCAAAUAAUGUAAUCCAUAACAUGGUUUAAUCGCUGAAACAGAAAAUCAAUAAUCAAGUAAAAGAAAAGAAACAUAUUAUGCUAUGGUAGUAAUUCUGCAGUUGCAACUUACAUAAAGAUAUAUAUAAUACAUACCUCACAUGAAUUAUCUGUCAAUACUUGGAAACAGUGUGUAACAAACACUUGAAGCAAGGAAAAGAGAUUAGAACAGUGCUCCGGUUUUUUGUUGAUCUGAUAGCGCAACAAAAAAAAUGCAAUGUCAGCCAUAUGAUCAUAAUUGUAAGUCCCACAGGAAUAUUGGAAAUACCUGCAUCUGCACCUCAGGAGUAUCCUGGAAAACAGCAUCAAAUAUUCGAGAUACCCCCUCCAGCAUAUCACUUGAGAACCUAUACGUGGAGUUGAAUACGACGUUACAAGAAACGACGAGAUAUACAUAUCUAAACAAAUAAACCUUAAACCAAAACGGGUGACAACAAACUACUCACUCCGUUCCUAAAUAUAAGUCUUUUUAGAUAUUCCAAUAUGGACUACAUACAGAGUAAAAUGAGUGAACCUACACUCUAAAAUAUGUCUAUAUACAUCCGUAUGUAGUUCAUAUUGAAAUCUCCAAAAAGGCUUAUAUUUAAAAACAGAGGGAGUACAAGCUUACUUGAUUAUAAUCGUUGAAAAUAAGGACAGAGCUUCAUGCUCUAUUGUGUCUCGGUUAUAAUCAGAGAGUACAGAGUCCACUAAUGGAAGAACAAACUGUUUUUGCAGCUGUGGUAAAUCUUCAGCCUUGACCACAACAGUUUCCAUUAAUUUCAAGAUCUCCAUCUUGACAGAUCUACAAAUUCAAAUUGAAAAUUUAGCAAAAUCUACAAAUGAGAAGAAGCAAAGAAUAGUAAGUUAUACCUUAAACAUUGUAAUUCCAAAGCAAGUGGCCCAUCUUCAGAGCCCUCAUCUACGAGUUGUUUUGAUAUCAGUUCGCUGCACAAGCUGGCGUGCAACAGAUGUUUGUGUGUUAGCAAGCAACACAACACAAAAUGCAAUAAAGAAAAGAGAGAGUUCAAGAUAGUCUUAAAGAACUAUUACUGACAAAGUAAUAAACUCUAAAUAGUCAAACCCACUAGAAUUUCAUGAAAUUCUAAGUUAAGUACCUAUACAGCUUCAACAUAUCAGAGGAGACAUGUGAAAUUUGUGGGAAAAACUGUGGGCCGAGUGAACUGGCAACACAAACAUUCAUCUGCAAAAACCAAGACACCCAAUUUUAGGAUCAAACAAUAAAUAAAACUAGAGAAAAGGAAACUAAAACCAAUUACAAAUAUUUGCCUUGGCAGGUAUUAAAAAUGGCAUAGGUCAUGCUUCUAAUAACACAAAGAUUAUUGGUUCAAUUAUCAGAUAAGCUGACAGUUGGUCCUUGACAGAGAAACUAAAUAUUAAAUGUCACUAUUAUAUUCUUCUCAAAAGAGAACUACUUGAUAAUACUUGAUAGUUGAUACUGCUAUUUGAAACAUAUUAUGUGACCUAACUGUGGAGAAGUUUGCAAUUACCUAAGAAUGAUGUAUACAAGACGAGUAUUACGAUUACAGGUACAACCAAAAGAUUAACUACUACAGCUAUCAUCAUGAGGAGAAGUGCACUCAAGACCCAUAAUUCAGAUAUGAAAUUAAAAGUUCUGAAUAAAAUCCACUUAGUAGAUUCCAUUCUCCAUUUUAUUACCUGCAAGAUGCUAAUAACAGAUAAGGCAUUGUCUUCCUUACAUAUGUCCAUGAUUUGGCCUUCCGCUGCAAUUAUUUCUGCCAGUUUCUGCAAAAUUAAAAGAUAUAAAUAGCAAUGUUAUAAAUCAAUUAAAUGGGGGGCAGACAUGAUAACAUUGUAACAUUGUAUUGGGAUAAGUAACCUCAUUUGAAAGGCUCAUUAAUCUUUUGAGGUAUUUCACAUUAUCAGAUUCAGCUUGAAUCAUCUCACAUGCCUGGAUAGAUAUGAAACAUAAGAUACAAUCUAUAGUUCGCCCACUGCAUAAUUCUUUUUAUUCUACAACAUACCGAUUGGUAAAAUAGGUGGAUUUCAUGCUGUUCGAGCUCUGCCAUCAAUUUAUCGAGAUACCAUUCCCUCUUAGUGUUAUCAGAUUCACUGAGAAUGUGCUUACCAACCUGGAUAAGAUAACAGAAAUAUAAAAAAGAAAUCCGUAGCCCGCCAACUGCACUGCAUAAAUGAACAUACCAGUUGAAAGAAUGUGUUGAUCCUGUUAGGCAUAUGAUGUGCAAUCAAAGCACGUAGGUUCACUAAAAGCUCCAGAUUUAAAUGUUCAUUUUCACUUGUCUGCAUAACCAUGAAGGAAGUUGAAAUUAGACAGUAACAGCUGUGCAUCACAUAGCACCACAUUUGCUCAUGUGUUUCAGAAUAAAAACAAUAGUCCAAAUUUGUACACAUUAUAAUGACUUCAAACACAAAACAAAACAAAAUGCCGCAAAUCAAAAUCUUCCGCACUUGUCAUGUUAUAAAAUUAAGAACCACAAGCAACUCCUUGUUAAGUGUCAAAAACCUCAGACAGUGGGUCACCAAGAACAACAUUAACUAAACCCUUGUCCAAGGCACAACUCCAGAUCCUAAUGAUAAGAGCUUGAGCUAAGCGCUUGAGCCUGAUAUUAAAUAAAAUGGUACAAAAGAAGGAGACCUCAUAGUGAAAAAGAUAAUCAAGGGGUCCCACCCAGAUGUACAAAGGUGAGAAAAGACAAUCUUCUACUAUCAUUGGUAGAUAAUCAAGGGGUUCCACCCAGAUGUACAAAGGUGAGAAAAGACAAUCUUCUACUAUCAUUGGUAAUAAUUUCUCAUUCCAGAACAGAGAAAGAGAACCAGUCUAGGAAUGAUCGCAUCGACUACGGUGAGACCACUUGACACUAUUUGUGACCAAGUAGCACAACUAAGUUAUCAUGACAUAGACUAAUGGUGGUAAUAGUAAUCAACUGAAAAUAAAUCAUUUCUCGAUUUGAAAUUUGAAUUAUACUGACCCUAAUCAAAUAAUGGGAGACAAGGAUAAUUUAUAGUGUUUCUUCCACUUUGGCCUGCUGUACAGUGUAUUUACCAGUGUUGCAUGUGAGGUAGUUACCGCUCGCAGGGUCAGAGUCACGCACCAACAAGGAGCAUGCUGCCCAUACUAGUGACUGCAGAUCUAUGUUUUUCAUCAAGUUACCUUACGCACUAGCAGUUCUGUAGGAACGACUACUGUGAAGGAUCCAGGGGUGCUGGUAAUUGUGCUUUAAAUGGGCAUGUGUCAUUAAAAAAUGUAGCUCACUCAUAAACCUGUUGCUUACAAGGAAAAUGCACCCAUUUUGGGUGGGUGGAUGUGGCUUUUCUGGGGCUAGGGAAAUAACUUACAAAAUUUGUCAUAGGAGCUUCUUCUACCACUGGUGUAAAGCAGCAAGUCAUGUAUUCUCCACAGCCAUCCUAGUAAUUGUCAUACGAGGAAAAAUGAGUCAGUACAGAUCACAUUUCAAUCGAACACAGGACUGGCGGAGAAGGUAUGACUUGCCUCACGUAACCUUUGCCAGACAAUGUCUGUUGUUAAAAAUCCAACAUCUGUUUGUAAAAGAUAUAGUUCUCCAUUGUGCUGAACAUGGAAGUAUGGCAAAAAAAUUAAACAAGCAGCACUGCAAGGCUAUUAACAAAAUCAGAGAUACUGACUUGAUAAUUUAUUUUACCUUCAUCAUAGUGCUAAAGCUCAGACACGUUGAGCCACGUUGAGAGAGGCAUGAGGGCGACCCCCCGGGCGACGGUGGGGGCGACCACCGAGGCGCGCCGCCCCGCGGCGGCAGAACGGGCAGGCGUGGGCGGCCGUUUCUGGGCUUUACUUGAUUCAGACGACGAGGAUGCCGACGGGGACGGAGAGGAUCCAGGAGGUUCACCGACGUCGCCUACUCCGUCGGAUUUGAUUUUCGAUCUAUUUCAUGCAGGUUACUCCGAGGAUGAUGUAGCCACAACCGUAGACUCGGUUUUGCCGGUGGAGGAUCCGGCACGGAUCGGGUUACAUCCGGACGAGAGGAACGAGAUGGUGCGCCGUGUAGUUCACCGGAGAACGGCGGCGACGGCGGUCCGGCCAUGGAAGGGCCCCAUACCUAAGGUACGCCUUCCAAACCUCACGCUUUUCGAUUUAAUUCAUCCGGAUUCGUGGACGGUAGUCGAGAAGAGUAGGGCAUAUCGCCGGUCGAGAGCCGGAUCACUGCCGGCGGCGGCGGCUGUGGUGACGUCGCGGAAGCCGAGCGGGAUCCGGGAGGCUCGCAGCGAGCGCUUGAACGAGCUACUGGGCCGGUUUGGGCCUGAUUUACCAAGCGAUGACGCCUUGCUAAGUGGGCCGGAGAUGGCUGGGUAUGAGGCCCAGACCAUCCCGAGCGCCACAUGCAUUGCUGCUAGCGCUGCAUGCACGGACGUGAUCGACUCUUCAUUCGCGUGCGUUUCUGCGUCUGCGCCUAGGGUUCGUCGGCGCGGGACACCUAUCCUACCACCAUGCGGUGCUGGCCGCGCUCGCCGGAUUCCCCCGCUACGCGCGAUGGCUGGUCAAGGCUCGGGUGGGCUGCCGGCAGCGAAGCCCCAUGCGGUUGCGGGCAGGGCUGGGGCAGUCGUGCCGCCGCCGCCGCCUGGAAGUGCUGGGCGAGGGGCCCCCGGUGCAGGGCGUGGCGCAGCCGGUGCUGGGCUUGUUGCUCCCGGCGCCGGGCGAGGCGCUCCUACCCUCUCGGGACGGACUGGCGCCAACCACGGGACGCGGCCGCCCGUGCCUGCGACGGCCGGGCCGCCGGUGUUAACUACUGGCAGUGGAAGACCUGCUGGUCCCCGACCUCCGGGGCCAACGCCGGCCAGGCCGCCGGGCAUAGCCGCGGGAAGAGGAGCCCCAGUAGGGCCGCGACCUCCGGGGCCGUCGCCUCCGGUGGCCACUGCCAUGGGUCGUGGCGGCGGGUCUGGUCCUAGCACUGUGGUGCCGGCCCCGGGUGGUGCUCCGCCUCGGGCUGCUCCGCCGCCGCACUAUGUCGCGAGGCCGGCUCAGUAUCGGUCAGGGUCUUCGCAGCCUAGGAAGGAGUUUACAGCUCGAGAGUCUUUUGAGGCACCCCGAGGUCAGUGGGGUGAUGAUGGUGUUGAUGCGUAUGGAGAUGGACAGCACCGCGGUUCCUCGUCUACCGGUGGAGGCCGAGGCUAUACGUGGCAGAGUGACGGGUCUGCUGAGAGACCUUUCCUCGGGCCUCCUGGUGGCUUUGUCGAGGGGGCAUCCGGCCCGGAUCCCCGCCAAAGAGGUGGAUUCCGUGGAUGUCGGGGUGGUCGGGGUGGGGGCCGUGGUAGGUUUCGUCGGCAACCUCCACCUCCGGUUGCUGUUGACCAUGGGGCUACUGCGGUUGAGACAGAUACUGCUCAGUCUACGGAUAUUACUACUCAGUCUAUAGAGGUGGUAACGGCACUGGCCAAGGUUGAUGUUCCGGUGCCUGGGGCUGUAGGUGAAACAUCAGACAGGUCUGACUCCGAGAGGGCGGCCCAGUGGGCGCGCAAGAAGGAAAGGAUGCUGUGUUACCGGUGUGGUGAGAAGGGCCAUUUUAUUGCAGAGUGCAUCGCAGAGCUGUGUGACUCGUGUGGCAAGCUUGCACAUGAUUCGGGGGAUUGCCCGUUAGUGCGUGACCAGGCUCCAUCUCUGACUAUGUAUGUGCUGUACUGUGCGGAGUUAUUGUUCUUCGAGUCCCCGGCCGCGAGGGAGAUUCCCGAGGAUACACAGUGCCUAACUACCGGGAUUGUGAAAGCAACUCAGGGCGAGGUGACUGAGGCUCAGAUCAUCCAGAGGCUUCAGGAGUUGGCACCGGGGGACUUUCAGUGGGAGCUGGUCAGACUCGAAGCGAAUGUCUUUAAGGUGGAUUUCCCUUCUGUGGAGGAUUUAUAGAAAUUGCAGAGUUUUGGCUUGUGUAGAGUUCCAGGUACUAUGUGUAUUUUGGAGUUUCACGAGUGGACGAAGGUGGAGCCUAAAGGCAAGCCGCUUACGCAGAUCUGGUUGCGGUUCUCUGGGGCUCCAUCUAAGCCUCUGCAGGACGUUCGAGUUGUAGCCAGUAUGGGUAUCAUGGUUGGAAAGACGGAGAGAGUGGAUAUGGCCUUCACUAGGGCUCAUGGAGUGGCUCGGAUAUUGGUGAGUGUUCUGAAUGUUGACUUCGUGCCUGAUGUCGUUCACUGGACAUAUAGGGGAGAGGUAUUCCCGCUCGACAUAGAGUUUGAGGAUGUUGAGAUGUUCGCUGACAAGGUGGCUGGGGAUGAUGUUGAUAUGCACGAGAGUGAUGGUGGUGCAGGGGCCACGGGGGCGCCAGACGAGUCUGCUCGAGAGGGGUCGACCGGACCUCAUACAGAUGCUCAGUUGCCUGGGGAGGGGACCGGAGCUGGCUCGACUCCGCCUUCGGUGCCCACGAUGACACUACGUUUUGGGUCCUUUGAGCCUGCUUCUGCGCCUCCCAAGCUGUGGAGCGAUAGGGUAGAGACUGAUGAUGAGUUUGAGCACACGCUUCCUUCUUUGGACUUUGUGGGGACUGCAGUUCGGGAUGUAGAGCCGGAGGUCGCUCCUAGUUCCCUUGUUGUACCGGUUGAGGUGGCUCCGGCAUUGUCAUCAAUGACCAAGGUGGGCCUCACGGGACGGGGGUCAAGGCAGGUGGCCUUUUCCUCUCCCCUACCUAUACAGACGCCGGUGUCACCGGCCAAGUCGGGGGCCGCCAGCGAUAGGAGCGGGAGUCCGAGGCAGGUGGCUUCGGCUCUCCCUCCUCAGGCCCUGGUUGUGGCGCCAGUAUCCACCGGGACACCGGGGGAGGAGGGGCUGGGGCAGGUGGCCUUAGACUUCCCUUCAUCGUCUGCGGUCAGGAGGACCGCUUCCUCGGCGACUUCGACGCUCCGCUCUGAGCCGGUGGGCGGGGCAGGAGGAGGGAGUGGGCAGGUGGCCCCAGCUGUCCCGCCUCUUGCCAUACCCGCCGGGCACUUUUCUGAGGGCAUCGGGAGCCCGCAGCUCCCUCAUUCUCGAGAGGAGGUUGUUGCCUUCGGUGGUAUCCCAGACCCGGUCUCGAUGGGGAGACGGAUCAGUGCUCGCGUUCUGGACCUUCCGGAGGUGGACGAUAUGCAGCAGCGGUGCGCUAUGAGGGCGGCCAAGCUUCACGAUGCUGCGAUAUCUACUGGUAUGUCCGUUAACAUAUCUAAUUCUUUAUUGCAUUUUGCUCCUGAGGAGAUUGUUAAUAAUGCAAACCAAUUAGGAGUUUCACUAGGCGCUAAUGAUAUUGAAACCUCCAAUUCGGUGAAUGAUAUGUUAGAUUUAGAGGCGGAGCGGGCCUUAGAGACUAUUCGUCAUCUUGCUGCGGUCAAGCCCAUGAAUGAUGAGGAAAUUGAUGCUUAAGGGGUUAGAGUGCUAAAUAAUCUAUGUGCGGACCUAGUACCUUCUAAUCAGGAGUCGGAGGGCGAGGAUGUGCCCUUAGAGGAUGUAGAUAUCAGGACCAUUCAGUCCGAUUAUGAGGACCGGGUGACGGAGCACACUAAGCCAAGGUGUAAGUGGAAGCGAAAGAUUUAUCCCGACUCUGCUGUUCGUAGGAGUGCUAGGAUUCGGACUGCUAAAAAAUUCCAUGAUGAACUAUGAAAGGAAUCUUUUGGAAUAGCAGAGGUCUGAAAGACUUGGCUAAAAGAAGGUUUCUUGCUGAAGCUUCUCUGGAACAUCGAUUAGAUUUCGUUGCUCUGUCGGAAACCGGGCGAGAUAAUUUUGCACCGCAGUUUCUUUCCUCUCUUGUGGGUGGUCUUGAUUUCGAUUGGCAUUGCCUCCCGCCACGAGGUAGAUCGGGGGGCAUCUUACUGGGUGUGAGAUGUGACUCCCUUGAAGUCCGGAGUGUAGUAAUGGGUGACUUCGCGGUAAAGUUUCGAGUUAGGUCUAAAGUUGAUGGGUUCAACUGGGCUUUGGUAGCGGUCUAUGGUGCCGCCCAACCCGAGCUUAAACCGGAGUUUCUGGCGGAUCUAGUUCAGAUAUGUGGGUCCGAACAGCUUCCGAUUUUGGUCGGGGGUGAUUUCAAUAUCAUUAGAAGGAGAGAGGAGAAAAACAAUGAUAACUUCGACGACAGGUGGUCGUUCAUGUUCAAUACUAUUAUUGAAAGCUUAGAUCUAAGGGAGAUAGAGCUCACUGGUAGACAGUUUACCUGGGCUAAUGCUAUGCCAAACCCGACAUAUGAAAAGCUUGAUCGGGUUCUCGCCAGCAUGGAGUGGGAACAGAAGUCCCCUCUUGUUACGGUGCAAGCUCUCACGCGGGGAAUCUCCGAUCACACACCUUUGUUCGUGGACUCAGGGGAGCCGAACCAUACAGGAAACAAAAACACCUUCUCUUUUGAGAUGGCCUGGUUCGAACGCGAGGGAUUCUUAGACAUCAUAGCCAGGGAGUGGGCUAAGGGUGUUGGAGGAAGGACGGCGGUCGAGCGCUGGCAGAAUAAAAUUAGGCAUUUGAGAAGUUUCUUACGGGGUUGGGCUAAGCAUCUAAGUGGGGUGUAUAAGAUUGAGAAGGAUAGGCUCCUCUCUCUUGUACAGGCAUUGGACGUCAAAGCUGAAUCCGCAUUGUUGCUGCCCAUCGAGCUCCAAGUUAGAAAUGAGGCGGAGAAGAGGCUGAAAGAACUUCUCCGCGAAGAAGAAUUGAAGUGGGCUUUGCGUGCCAAGGUCCGCAAAGUAGUCCAAGGGGACGCGAAUACUCAAUUUUUCCACCUCAUUGCUAAUGGUAAACACAGAAAGAAGCGGAUCUUUCAGCUAGAGCAGGAUGAGGGUACUAUUUUAGGGCAGGAUAAUCUCAAAACCUAUAUUACCGAAUACUAUAGACAGCUAUUUGGACCGCCGGAGGCCAAUUGUGUGUCCCUCGAUGAGUCCAGGGUUGAGGACGUGCCUCAAUUGACUGCUGCUGAUAAUGAUAUCCUGGUUGCCCCAUUAUCAGAAAAGGAGGUGUUUGAUGCUAUUGCACAAAUGAAAAACAAUAAGGCUCCCGGUCCGGAUGGGUUCCCGGCUGAGUUCUAUAAAAAGUGUUGGCACAUUAUUAAGGGGGAUUUACUACCUAUGUUUCAUGAUCUAUUCUCUAGACAGCUUCAAUUAUCUCACCUGAAUUUUGGAACUAUCACAUUGCUUCCGAAGAAAACGGAUGCUGCGAGGAUUGAGCAGUUCAGGCCGAUCUGCCUCCUCAAUGUUAGUUUCAAAAUCUUCACCAAGGUUGGAACUAAUAGGCUCACACAGAUUGCGCAAUCUAUGGUGCAGCAAUCCCAAACUACUUUCAUGCCGGACAGGAACAUCCUUGAAGGGGUGGUUGUCCUUCAUGAAACGCUCCAUGAAAUCCAUUCCAAAAAAUUAGAUGGAGUAAUUUUAAGGUGGAUUUCGAAAAAGCGUACGAUAAAGUUAAGUGGCCAUUCCUCCAACAGGCACUGCGUAUGAAAGGUUUUGAUGAAGCCUGGCGCCGACAGGUCGAAUCAUUUACGCAAAAAGGGAGUGUGGGAAUUAAAGUGAAUGACGACAUAGGUCAUUAUUUCCAGACACACAAAGGCCUAAGACAAGGAGAUCCGAUGUCCCCUAUCCUGUUUAACAUUGUGGUGGAUAUGUUAGCAAUUUUGAUAGGCCGGGCUAAGGAAAAUGGUCAAGUGGGUGGGUUGGUUCCUCAUCUUGUGGAGGGGGGUGUUUCCAUCCUUCAGUACGCCGAUGAUACAAUCAUCUUUAUGGAGCAUGAUUUGGCCAAGGCGAGAAAUAUGAAGCUUGUGUUAUGUCUGUUUGAACAAUUGACCGGGUUAAAGAUUAACUUCCAUAAGAGCGAAUUGUUCUGCUUUGGUAGAGCCAAAGACGACCAGGAGUCUUAUAGGCAGUUGUUUGGGUGCGAGUUGGGGAGUUUACCCCUCUCUUAUCUUGGAAUCCCGAUUCAUCAUCGUAGGCUAACAAACAGAGAAUGGAAGUGCAUCGAGGAUCGAUUUGAGAAAAAACUGAGUUGUUGGAAGGGUAAGCUCAUGUCAUACGGAGGCCGGUUGAUAUUGAUUAAUUCGGUGCUCACGAGUAUGCCUAUGUUUCUCUUAUCUUUCUUUGAGGUCCCAGUUGGUGUUAAGAAACGACUGGACUUCUAUCGGUUGCGCUUCUUUUGGCAGGGUGAUGAACUUAAAAGAAAAUACUGUCUUGCUAAAUGGGACAUCAUCUGUAGACCGAAAGACCAAGGGGGUCUUGGUAUUGAAAAUCUUGAAGUCAAGAACAGAUGUCUUCUGAGUAAGUGGUUGUGGAAGCUGUCCUCCGGGACUGAGGCCAUGUGGGCGCAGAUCCUCCGCAACAAGUACCUCCAAACUAAAACAUUGUCCCAGGUCGCAGUCAGGCCAACUGACUCGCCCUUCUGGAAAGGACUAAUGAAAGUCAAACAAUCUAUGUUCAUUAGGACGAGAUUUGUUAUUGGAAACGGUACAAGUACCCGCUUCUGGGAGGAUAUUUGGCUUGGUGAAUCACCUUUAGCCAUUCAAUAUCCGUCUUUAUAUCGGAUUGCUCAACGACGUGAGGUAUUCGUGGCAACGGUAUUCCGAUCUAUUCCCCUUAAUAUUCAGUUUAGACGGUCGCUAGCGGGCAAUCGUUGGGAAGAAUGGCUUCAUCUAGUUAGGAGACUGAUGGAGGUUCAACUUUCUUACCAACCCGAUAUGUUGCGUUGGAAGUUGACUAGUUCUGGAGCAUUUACAGUUAAAUCAAUGUAUAUUGAUGUUAUUAAUUCGACUGCUAUUCCAACUUCCAAGUUUGUUUGGGCUGUCAAGGUGCCUUUGAAAAUAAAAGUGUUUAUGUGGUUUGUCCAUAAACAAGUUAUUUUAACAAAGGACAACUUGAUUAAACGCAAUUGGACAGGACCUACUAGGUGUAGUUUCUGUGAUCGGGAUGAGACGAUUAAGCAUUUAUUCUUUGAUUGCCCGUUGGCUAGAGUUCUUUGGCGGACGAUCCAUAUUGCUUUUAAUCUUACUCCACCGACUUCUGUCAAUACUUUAUUUGGGACAUGGCUUAAUGGGGUUGAGUCUGUUCUCGCAAGACAUAUUCGGGUUGGAGUAUGCACUUUGUUAUGGACUAUCUGGAAUUGCAGAAAUGAUUUGGUUUUUAACAGAACAUCACGGAUUCAUUUUUUGCAGGUUAUUUUCCGAGCUACGACACUGAUCCGUUCGUGGUCGCUACUCACUCCGAUGGAGGCCAGGGAGCAUUUGGUUACUGGAUCUGUCCGUUGGGAGAUGGUCGCUCGGGAUAUCUUCAACCGGUUUGGAUGGCGGUCAUGUAAUAGGAUAGGCAAUUAGCUUUCCUAUCUAUUGUUAGCCAGCCGGUUGUGGCAUCUUUUUGGGCUAGUUUGUAUAUCUAGUCGUCUGUAGCUCUGUGUGAGCUGCAUUCCUCUUUUUCCUUUUUGUUUAGCUGGAGAAUGUGGAACCUUGUUAGCACUUUUGCCUUUUUUUGGUUAAUAAGAUGGCCGUAUGCAUCGUUUUGAUGCAGAGGCCGGGGAGACCCCCCUUUUCGAAAAAAAACAUAGUGCUAAAGUGAUUGCGCCAAAGUAACACACAAACCUCUUCUUCCUUCGUAUCCUCUCGCAAACAUGAUAGCCUGAAGUGUUAAUAAAAAAGCUCGCGUGUUUAUCAAUUAUGUGGAAAAUUACUUGUCAAUAAUGGUGUCUCACGUGUUUAUCAAUUAUGUGGAAAAUUACGUGUCAAUAAUGGUGUCACUCCCGUGACUGAUCAUAGUCACUAGAGGCAUGUAAUGGAGCUAUUUAAGUAGUUGUUUCUGCUAUUUUAGUUGAUCAGUCUUCUAAACCCUAAUAAGAUACUUAAAAUAGAAGGUUGGGUCUGUUGUUCCUUUUUUUAUUUGAACAAGCAUUUAAGAUGCAUGUCAUAUUGCUAAUAUCCCCCUCCAACACCAUUCUCAAUUUACUGCUAGCAAUGUCACCUUCCUGCCACCUAUUGUUUAGCACACUGCAAUAAAGGGUCCUAACAAAUACGACCAAAAACUGCAUACUCUUAAGCUAUAUAGGUAGGUAUAGUUACCCAUGAGGAGUAAGUGAGUUGCCAUGUAGAAACUGAUGAAUAAGACUCCCUACAAAUCAAUGCAAGAGUGCAAAGUAAAUACCGUGUAGAUAAUACUGGUGACUAAAAAAAUUGCACAUACAUAAAUAGUCAGUACUUAGUACUUACAUUUAGCACUGUCAACCGCAGAGAACUCAAGGCCACCUUCCAUCUUUGACACAUACUCGCCAAGCUCCAUUAUAAGUGUAUCAUGGGAUUUAUUACCAAGCGCCUCAGAUAGUGCCAUAUCCUAAUGAUGCAUAUCACAUAAUUAUCAUUACACGACAAAAGAUCACAGUACUACCAUAUCCACACAAAAUACAAAAUAUCACACUAAGAAAGAAUUACCCGCGGAUCCACGACCCAGCCACGAAAAAGAGAUGCACCGGAGAGUUCAGAUAUACCUACUGUAUCAUCCUCACCUAUCUUCGCAAAAGCUCUAGUACUGCAUUCAACAGAACAAAUAAUUACAACACAAUGAAGAAAAAGUUGUGAACUGCAAACUGAUAGUCCAUUCCAACCAACCUAGUGAAAUUCACAUUAACCAGUGCCCCUUUCACAUAAGACGUUAGUCCUUUUGUCACAAACGAUUGCAUUGAGGUAUCCCACACCAACUCAGGAUGGCUCGUGGAGAUGUGCGACUUGAGCCGGCUGAGCAGGUAGUUCUCCGAAACUUCACCCAUAUCAUUUAGGAUAUCCAAUUUGAUCUUACCAGUCAGUAACAAGGAAUUGCCUGCAAAUAAGUUAAACCCAGGUAAAUUCGAGAUGGUGUAACAGAUCUUAUUAAGAAAUGAUGCUUAAUUAAGUAGUCAUACAAAUCCCUAAGAGGGCACACGGUCCAUCGUCCUCCUGGUAGACAAUGUGUGUGAGGUGGCCCUCAAAGUGUAUCUGCCUCGUCUUGUAUGUCCUCUCUGAGACCUGGUUGGCAUCGGGUGGCUCUGAGGGCAGAUGGUCCAUGACCAAUUCCUGCAAGAUUAAAAGAUAGCAUUAGCAGUGUUAUAUCCUAAAUCAGAGGAAAACAUGAUACAUUCUAUUAGAAUAGAUAACCUCUUAAAAGCUCAUUAAUCUCCUUAGGUAUUCCUCGUUGUUGGUAUUAUCAGGUUCGGCUUGAAUCAUCUUAAAGACCUGGAUACAUAUGAAACUGGUAUAUAAUCUAGGUCCACCACUGCACAAUUUUUUGGUUCAACAACAUACCGACUGGUAAAAUGUGCAGAUUUCCAGCUGGUCAAGAUCGCUCGUCAGUGUAUUCAGAUAUCCAGCCCUCUUAGUGUCAUCAGAUUCGGCCAGAAUCAUCUUACCAACCUGGAUAAAGAUAACAAAACGUAAUCAGAAUUAUUAUUAUUAUUAUUAUUAUUAUUAUUAUUAUUAUUAUUAUUAUUAUUAUUAUUAUUAUUAUUAUUAUUAUUAUUAUAUAGAUAACCCAGUGCACUGCAUAAUCAAAACAUACCAGUUGAAAGAAUGGAUUGAUCCUGGUAGGUGUAUGAUGUGCAACCAAAGCACGAAGGUUCAAUAGAAGUUUCAGAAGAAAAAGUUCAUUUUCACCUGCCUGCAUAACCAUGAAGAAACAUGAAAUCAGACCGUAACAGUUAUGCAUCACCUAUAAAUGCACUUGUUCAUGUGUCUCGUAUCAAAGUAAAUAAGAACUUUGUAGCCAACUAGCCAUCAUCACGACUUCAAACAUCAAACAAAAAUCCUCUGCAGUUGCCAUGUACUACCUUCAUUCCUAAAUAUAAGGCGUUGCCCCAACAUCUUAUAUUUAGGAAUGGAGGUAGUAUAAAUUAUGAACCAGACUCAACUCGUUGUUCAGUGUCAAUUAUCUCAGGCAGUAGCUCAUAAAUAACAAUAUUAAUUCGAAACUUGUCUAAGGCACAACUCCAGAUCCUAAUGAUAAGAGUUUAAACUAAACCUUUGAGCCUGAGUGGAACUGUAUAAAAGAAGGAAACAUCAUAGUGCGCUAAAUAAUCAAAGGGUUUGAGCUAAACCCUUCACUACAGGAAAAAACUUAUAAGCCGUGUACCUAAUACACUCGGCUUACAUCGAUUUAAACUCGGUUUACAUAUAAGCCGAGUAAAACACCCGGCUUAUAGCACUCGGUUUACAGUCGACCGGCUUAUAUCAUAUAAGCCGAGAGCUGGACCGAAAAAACCUGGCUUAUGUAUAAACCGAGUAUUUUUAAAGGGCUCUCGGUUUAAUAAAGUAACAUGACGGUAGCCUGCUGUUAACGGCCACGUGUCACCGUCUAUAUAAGUCGAGUGCCGUCUUCCGGGCACGGUUUAUAUAUAAGCCGGGUGCAACCGCGAACGCACGGUUUAUAUAUAAGCCGGGUGUAACCAGGAAUUGCAUGGUUUAUAUAUAAGCCGGGUGCAACCACGAACCGCACGGUUUAUAUAUAAGCCAGGUGCAACCGCGAACCGCACGGUUACUAUAUAAGCCGAGUUCCUCCGACAACAGCACAGUUAUAUACAUAUAUAAGCCGGGUGCUGGUUAACUGAGGCACACGGCUUAUACAGCCUGCCCGUGUAACCAUAUGGUCUAUAAGCCAGGUGCUUGGUGCUGGGCUACACGACUUAUAGGUUGGCCGCAGCUAUAUGUCUUAUAAGCCGGGUGUCAGAUAGCUGGGCUACACGGCUUAUAAGCCUUAUAACAUUUUUUUGGUACUCGCUUCAGGGAGCAGCAACAACAUAUAUGCAGUAGUACAUCUAUCCAGCAACACAUAUAUCCAGCAGUACAUGACCAUGACCAACAAAUAUAUAUCCAGUAAUACAUAUAUCCAUCCGUACAUGAGUGCAAAGUCCACAUAUGCAACAAAAGAUCACAAACGAAAGGACCGUAAGUUUCAGGUCCACACAGUGCAUACAUAUCCAACGAAGGUUCACAACAACAUACAUACAUAUGCAACCAGAGGUUCACAAAUUAAAGGAUCAUGAGUUCCAAGUUCACACCAAGCAUGAACCAUGCAGUGAGCUCCACCGCAGCAUAUAUGCCCACCGUCAACGCCAUCCACAAUGCAAACCUAUAAGUCCAUUCUCACACGCAUGAGUUUGAGUUUCUAAAGUUAAGUUGCAAAGAUGGAUAAGGCAUAAGAGUCAACAAGAAUCAACAUAUGAGGCUUAAAUAGAAGCUAGGAAGUAUGUACAAUAUAAGCAUCAACACUUGUGGACUCUACCAUCAACAAUGCACAAGUUUUAAGUUGAGAAGCACAAGCAACGAGAAGACGCAAGCAUCAACAAUGGACAAACAUAGACAACUACCUCAAGUGAUCAUUGUUGCGGGGAGGUCGAAGCGACAUGAACCGUAGUGGGUGUCACUGGACUUGCUUGGCCAGGUGAAGAUCCACCUACCACACAGUUAUUGGAGCCUUGUCCCGACUGAGAAAACUUGAAGCACGAGAGGAUGAGAUGGUAAGAUUCAUGAUCUUCAAGCAUGAAGGUAAGAUGCAUGAUUGAAAAGUUGGAAGACUUACAAAGUUGAAAUUAGGAAGAGUCGGAAGAGGAGGAAGAACGGGCAAAAUGGAACCCUGCAUAUUAUUUAUGAGUUGAGCAAAUGUCUCCUGCAGGAUUGCCUGUUGUUUAACCAUGAAUUCUUGCUGUUGAAACAGGG